CACUUAUGUGUCUAACUAAAUCCCAAAUGCAGACAUGUUCCUGAAAUGCUCUUACUUUGUUUUGGAAAACUAUGCAAUGGUGUAACAUUCAACGGUUUAUAUCUCAUAAGUAGCAAAAUAAGGUUAAGACCAUUGGAUUCUUCACAACUCCAUCUUAGAACCAACAGCAUCAUAACCUCCAUCGAAUUCUAUAAGUGAGAUUUUAUCUUUCUCUCCAUUCCACGCCUUUGUCGCCUUCACAAAUUCUCUAAUGUAACACAUACAAAGGUUACCAUGUUAUAAGAGCGAAUAUCACCUACGACACAUUGUGAUCAAUAGUUAAACCAAAACAUACAAGAGGUGUAGAGGCUCAAAGGCGCUUUCAAGAGAAGCAUAUACUCCUUUCUUGAUGUUCAUAGCUACCUUGCUGGAUACCGCAGCCUCCCACAUUAACUCGCUUCUCGUCCAGCUGAGUUACAGUGACCACCCACAUAAAACUGCAGUCAAUAUUAAGUUUUACAUGAGAUUCUCAUUCUGACUUAGAGAAAUGAUAAUACUAUGAGAUGUGCAUGAAAAUUAGUGAGCCUUCCCCAGAUAUUGUCAAAGCAAGUCCUUAUACAGUUACACUUUAAAAGCAUGAACAUUAUACUAGGAAAAUAAGCAUGAACAUUUCACCAGAUAUUGUCAAAACGAUUUAAUUCUCUAAUAAUCUUCAUGAGACUUUCCAAUUAGGUUAAAUAUAUUUCUAUAAUUUCCACCCUUUGUUCAUUUUAGGUUCCUAAGAAAACUAACAUACUUAAAACUUCAACUUCCCCUACUGGGGAGGCUCUGAAACAGUUAAUACUAAUUGAAAACAAGACAAUGUUGCAGCACAGAGGAUUAAAUCUUUCUUAGUAUACCUGUAAGGAUGCCUCUUAAACUUCACUGCAAUUGAUAAUACAUCAUCUCGAGGUACUUGUUCCUCCUUCCUUAAGCUUUGGAGUCAGCUGUACUAAGGGAAGUUUAAAAGCAUGAACAUUUCACUAGGAAAAUAAGCAGAGCUUAUAAAUCUGCAAAAAAAAAAACGCAAUGAUCCAGAGCUUAUUGGCUUUGAUGACCAACUCAUCAAAAUUUCUAGAGUUCAGUUCCACAGAAGCAAAAAACAAAAGCUAUCAGCAUAAUUGUGUGAAGGUCCACGAGUUUGAUAGAGAAUGUUAUAUGUGAAUGGAAUUAAGGUGACAUGAUGUGGUUCUUCAAUUAGUGCGUUAAACUAGCUCUCUAUUUCCACUAGGUAUAAAGAGAGUAACACUUCUUCUACAGAGAUGAGAGAGCUAAGGCCUAAGGGCAGAUUCUAUCAGAACAUGUUAUCUGUUAGUCUGGCCAAGCAAAAUUAGCAAUGGAUUUGGCAUAUCGUUCUCCUAGGUUGAUCAAUUGGAGCCUUUCCCGAAACAAAAACCUUAUUACAGUUGGGAAACCAUUGAUACAAUAAUCCUAGACAAGAGUGUACAUUGGUUGGUUCAGUAUCACAACCAAAUGUUAAAGCCAAAAACAAUUGGGUAAGCCAGAGCACAAACUUUGUGCAUUAUAUAGUGAGUAAAAAGUUUAAGUCUUUCAUGACUCACAAGCAAUGAUCCCAUGGAAAAAUAGAACCUUUAGAUGAAACACAACUAGAAUGAAGAAACUGCAAGCAAGGAAACAAGUUAAGAGGACUAACACAAUUUCAUGGAUUGCCGACUGAUAUCGAGAUUCGCAGUGUAGUUAAUGGAUGAAAUAGCUGAAACGACUGUGAGGACAUUGCAGGAAACGAAGGAAGAAGCUAUGAGAGAAUCAGAGAACUGUACUGAGGAUUGGUGAAGAAGAAGAAGAAGAAGAAGAAGAAGAAGAAGAAGAAAGGGGAGGAAACGAUGGCAUUGAGAAUAUGGGCCUUACGGGAAGCCCAAACAUAUUUAGAUAGGAUAGGAGUAGGAAGAAGGACUAGGUUAUUUACCAUUGUGUGACAUCAUCGUCUCGUUGCGUUUGCGUUUGCUUUGGUGAUUUUGAUUAAAUUUGUAUUUACUCUUCUUCUCUGGUUAUGUCUUUGUGUUUAACAAACCCACCACCGAAACAAACAAUGAUCAGUUGAAUGAAGCUUUUUUGUGCCUCUAAACUCUUUGGUCAAUUCCUUCUUCUUUUUCUGUGUAUGUUCGAUUGUGAUAAGAUCCAUAUUGGUGUCUAAUCAGAAUCUUGUGCCGCGGAUUUGGAGAGACAUCAUCAUCAUCGACAUCCCUGCUCUUUCUUCGAUUUGGUAUUGGAGCAGACUCUAGAUUCGAUUUUGACAUUUUUUUUGUUUUUUUUUCGGGUUUUGUUUGAAUUAUUAUAUUGCUCUCAAUUUCAGAGUAACUAAGUUUGAGCUUACCCGGAUCUCUGAUUUUUUGUUUUCUUCUUUCUAAAUUGGUUGUUUUGAGGUGAGAGGUUCAAAUAAAUGCCAAUCACAGUUUCCACCAUUCUCAACUGGCUUUGUCUGUCUUGAUUUGGUAACCUUGUCGGAAUUUAGUUGAUUACUGCAAGACUUCUUCAUUCUUUUACCAUGAUUUAUGAUAUUUUCUUUUUUUCUUUUUCCUCCAUUUUGAAACUCCUUGGUAACUGAAGUUUAUUUUGCAGUGAAUACACAUUGGAAUCUGCUUUUUCCUUGAAAAUGGAACUACAAGAUGCUCAGAAAGAUGAGAAUGAGAAAUCCCUUGAGGCCUCUGUAGCUGAGAAUAAUGGGGAAGAUGUGGCUGAAGCUGAGGGAAAGGAUGAGAAUGAGCUUGUGGAAACCUCUGCUGGUGAAAAAGGUAAGGCAGAUGACGACGAGUUUGUUGAAACUUUAAUGGAUACCGAUCAGGUUUUGGCAGCCUUAAAAGUACCGGUAGAGGAGAAUGAUGCAGAAAAUGUUGUUGUUAAAGAACUCUCCCUUCUUGAUUCUGUUGAAGCAAGUUCUUCUGGAAUGAAAAAGUCUCAGGGAUUACCAGCGAAAACUAAAACUAUCAAAAAAGUCAAGAAGCUAGUAAAAAGGAAAAUCAGAAAAGGCACUACUACUGCUGUUCAGGUGGCUGGUGAGGAGAAUUUCGCUGUAGAACAAGGUAUGAAAGAAGGUAGAACCGUGGUAAACAGCAAAGAGGAUGAACAAAGUCCAGAGCCUUCUCUUGGCGGAAGCGAAAAGGAAAUAAAGAAGGUUACAGAGUCUGUUGCAGAUUCCCCCCAAUUUUCUUCUGGAAAAGACAAAGAUUUAGAAAACUCUAUUGGAGGAAAUAUUAUGGAGUUUAAGAAAAACGUAGAAGAAUUAGCAGAAGCUCCUCAACCUGCAGAUGAUGGUGAAAAUGUUGCUGGAGGAAAACUAUCUGGUAAGAAAACACUGAAACAGGUAAAGGGAAAAGCUAGCAUUCUGAAGAGACAAAUGGGGAAAAAAGUCAAAGGGACUCUUACUCAGGGGAUGGAUAAAGAGACUGCAGCUAUAUUGCAGGGACCUAAGGAUGGAGUGGAUCUAGAAUCAAUAGUGUCAGAUAAAAGAGAUGCUGGAGCUUCUCCAGGAGGAAACGUGAUGGAAGCUAAAACAGCUAUUGACGGUUCUGUAGAAGCCAAAACUGGCUUGGCUGAAGGCAAGAGACGCAAAAGGAAUAGACAGAGAAAACAGGAUUUAGUUUCAAACAAGAAACAGCGGAAAGAGGUAGUAACUGCUGCUGAUGCAACAGAACAAAGAAAGGAAGAGAGGAAAGAGCAGCUUGUCAACCCUGAGAAAGGUGAUAGGGACGAGCAUGGAAAAGUAAAGAUUGGUGGAUUGAUCUUUAUGUGCAAUACAAAAACUAGGCCUGACUGUUUUAGGUUCAGUGUAAUGGGCGUACAAGAGAAAAAGAAGGAUUAUGUCAUGGGUAUCAAACCCGGGCUUAAGCUAUUUCUUUAUGACUAUGAUCUCAAACUCCUCUAUGGAAUUUUUCAAGCAUCCUCUGCGGGUGGGAUGAAACUUGAGCGCAAAGCUUUUGGUGGAUCCUUUCCUGCUCAGGUAACCUUGUGUUUCACCCAUGUUCUUCAAAAUCAAAACUUCAUUUAUAUCAGUAGUCUUGAAGAUGAUAUGAGUUUCGUUAAACUUUCAUCGGUUUAACUUAUGGAUCAAUAUUCUACGUAUUUCAGGUGCGCUUUAAGAUCUUUAGUGAUUGCUUACCAUUGCCUGAGAGCCAAUUCAGAAAAGCAAUCAAGGAGAAUUACAACAAUAAUAACAAGUUCAAAACGGAAUUGACUCAUAAACAGGUAAUUCACAUUUUUCAUCAUUUUCUCUAUCUCAACUCUUAACCCGUUUUCUUCACUCUGCUCUUCUCUUCUGUUCUGGUGUUCUUUAAGGUAUUUAAGCUUAAAAAGCUUUUCCGACCAGCUGCUAUUCCUGCACAACUUACCCACACCCAGCCAAUCCCUGUUCCUCGUGAUGCUGACAGGAAAAGAUCUGACAGAGACCGUUACGCCCCUAGUAGCAGUAGAGCCCACCCGACCCGUACACAUGAAAGAAGACGUGAUUCCCCUCCUCCACGCAGAGAAGAACAACCGCGUGACUUAUAUCUCAGUGAAAGAGAGUAUCGAACAUACGGCUUGAGAAGGGGAGACACAACCCAGCAUUAUCCAACUCCGCCUCCAGAUUCUUCUUAUGAUAUUGUCAACCGAGACCGUGUUCGUUUGGAUUCAUACCGUUCAUCUGUAGACCAUGACCGGCUUUUGAGGCAAGCAGAGAUUGAGAGGCAUGACCGCAGGGAAGUUCGUCUUGUUCACUUGCCUGACAGAGACUACCACAUGUAUGAUCAUCAAAGUUCUAGACGGGGAAUCCUGGGUCGAAACUCGCCCAACCCUCCAACUUCAGCAGUUGCUUUGGACUCCUACAGGAGAGACCCGCAUUACAGUUAUGAGUAUGAAAGGCCGUCAAGGACAUACAUGGCUUCGCCGAGAAGAGAAGAUGAUGACUUGUAUUCCCGGUAUAUUACAGCGGAUUCAUUGGCUGAAUACUACAGAUCAUCACAAAGAUACCCAAGCGUAACUGAAUCUGAGCUUCCACCUUCAUUAGUAACAUCCCGGUAUGCUUAUCCAAGGUCUUUGCCUUAUCCACACCGCUGAUCUCAGAUAGUGUAAUUCUCCACUAUCCCUUUGAAUUUAUCAGCUGUUUAAUUUAUGUUGGAUAUGGAUACACAGGAUACUGAAUAGUUGAUACUUGCAACGAAAGGGUUUACUUCUUGCUCGUUGUACCAAAUGGUUUCAGCAAAUAAUAUUGUUUCUCUCUAAUAUAUAGAGUGCUAGAACAAAGGGAGUAGCUUAACUAUAUCGGUUUAGUUAUGAACUAUUGCAUGGUACUUGAACUAAGAGUCAAAGAUUGUCUCGGCAGAAGUUUUAGACCUGAAGAACACAGCUUUGACAUUCCAAAACAAUCUUACCUUCGUUCUGUAAUGCUUCGAUUUAUAUCUUAUGAUUAGGAUUUUUACUGUAACAUGAGAAGAAGGUUUCUUUUUAUUGCCUCUAUAUGACUCAUGAGUCUUUUGAAGACAACAACUUAAAACAAGUUUCGAGCGAUUAACUCCUAAUAUCAUUCCAGCACAUUCUCUCUUAUGUGUCUACUUAAAUCCCAAAACCAGACUGUUCUUCUCCUAUCUCCUGAAAUGAUCUUUUACACUCUUUUGGGAAAAUAUAAAAAGGUGAAACACAUUCCAUGGUUCAGAUCCAAAAGUAGCAAAAUCAGGUUAAGACCAUUGGAUCAUUCACAACUCAUCCUUCGAACUAACAGCAUCAUCACCUCCCAUGAGUUCUUCAAGUGAGAAUUCAUCUUCCUCAAUCAGCUCUCCAUCUUUACCAUCCCAUGCCUUUGUCGUCACGAUCUCAGGUGUUCCGUUCAUAGGCAAAUUUCCUUUUCCACCGGCCCCAGCAUCCUUCACAAAUUCUCUGAUGUAACAACACAUGCGAAGCUUACAUUGUUAUAAGAGCGAAAACCACCUGACUUAAUCUGAACCAUUGUGAUCUCUAGUUAAACAAAACUUACAAGAGGUGUUGAAGCUCAAAGGCGCUUUUAAGAGGAGCGUAUACUCCUUUCUUCAUGUUCAUGGCUACCAUUGCAGGAUAACCAUAUCCUCCUACAUUAACUCGCUUCUCCAAAUCCGGCUGAGUUACAGCCGCCACCCACAUAAAACUGCAGAUGUAUCAUAUUUUACAUGAGAUUCUCAUUCUGACUUUUAAGAAAUGAUAAUAUGAGAUGUGCACAAAAAUAACGAGCCUUGUCCAGAUGUUCUCAAAGCAAGUCCUAAAAUUCCUAAACGAACUAAGAUUUGAUAUCCUAACACUUAUGUAAGAUUGUGAGAUCAUUCUUAAUCGAGACUUUCAGAUCAGGUAAUAUAUAUUUCUAUAGGUUUCAAUACUUUGUUCAUUUUCGGUUCCUAAGAACACUAAAAACUUAAAGUUUCUUCAUCCCUUACUGGGAAGGCUCAAAAAUUAUUGGCAUUAACCAAGAAGAGGACAAUGAUGCAGCACAGAGAAUAGAAUUAUUCUUGGUGUACCUGUAAGGGUGCUUCUUAAACUUCUCUGCAACUGAUAAUAGCAUCUCAAGGUACUUGUUCCUUCCUUCAGCUUUGGAGUCAAGAAUGUCAGGUAAGAAAGAGAUAAAGCAAAUAGCAGCAGACCCACACUUCUUUUCCAUUACAUCCUAUAUAAUCAUUAUGGAACAAGUGUCAAUCUCUUGGGUUCGACCUUAGAAGUAUUUAAGAUAUAUUGUUUGUUAGAGACAAAGCAAAAUAUGUGAACAUACCGACCCAGUUAGCUCAGUUACUUCAACAGGGCCAGCACUAGAUUCUACAAGCUCAGAAGCAAAAGAUUCUAUCGCCGACGCAGAUCUAGCACCAUCGUAAGGAGUUGGGUUGCUUUUGUCUAGACCAAAUACCAAAAUUGUAGGGAAUCCUUGCACUUUGAAUCUGCUCAUUAUCGACUGCAAUAUAUAACAAUUUGGGUCAGAACCAAUCAAUGGUAAAAUGAAAAAAAGAGUGUUGGUACAAAGGAAAACAUUGUGGCAGCUUGUCAGAAUUCAUGAUUCAAAGUAAAAUGGAUAAAGACUAGGCACAGGAAGCCGACUUUCAUGGUAAAUUUUCAAUGAAACCAGUAGAAAGAUGAGGCAGGAAAGAGUCAUAGAAAUUAUUUCUGAUAGGAAAUAAUACUAAAUUGAAAACAUAUUUUGUGAUUACCUGCUCAACAUCGCAAUUGACAUGGCCUAAAUUCACCUUCCCCUUCAAAUUUUUUGCAGCCUUCUUCCACUCUGGGGCAAGCUUUUUGCAGUGUCCACACCUUUCAGAAGAAAGAAAAGAUAAGUUUUAUAUCUUGAUGAGAUGUGUACCGAGGAAGUUGGAAGGCAUGAACAAUUCAGUGGGCCAAUAAGCACAACUUACCAAGGUGCAAAAAACUCGACAAUCCAAAGUUCAUUGCUUUUGAUGACCAACUCAUCAAAAUUACUAGAGUUCAGUUCCACAGAUGCACUAGGUUCAGAUUUCUUUUCAUUAGAUCCUCCUCCAGUUGGUUUACUUUUGCCUUCCAAACGGUCACUCAAAAGACCUUUGAUCUGGGGAGCAAGAAAUAACAGCAAUAAGCUUAUCUGAAAACAGCUACACGAGGCAAAUUAAUAUGAAAUAAUGGCCACUUGUGGUUCUUCAAUUAGUAGUAUUGUGCACUUAAGGAUGCUGACCGCAGAUCAUCAACUGCAGCCCUUGUAUUUUUGAAAGUUUUACUUUUAAAUGAAAAAAUGCCAAUAGUGUGAUUCCAAAGAAAACAUAUUUAAAAAGAAUCAGGUCAUUGCUAUUUGUUGGACAAUCGUGUGAUUCCUCUACAUAUCUUCGUGGUACUUACUACUUACACUUCAAGAAGGUGGAAAGAGUAAUUGAUUGGGCCUUUAAAAACACUCAUUUCUUGACGAAUGAAAUAGUUAUGUAAUUAAGACUCAAGCAGGUGCAUGUGACAAACCUGCUUGUAAGCAAAAUUAGCAAUGGAUUUGGCAUCCCUAGCUCCUUGGUAAUCGAUCGGAGGCUUUCCGGGUACAAAGACUUUAAUAGUUGGGAAACCUUUGAUACCAUAAUCCUGGACCAGAGAGUACAAUGUCAGUAUCACAACCAUUGGGUAAGCCAAAGCCUAAGCUUCGUACAUUAAAGAGAGUAAACAGUUUUGUUUUCCUUAUACGAUUCACAAGCAACAGAUAUGGCUAUGUGAGAUAACAUCACGAACCUGCGCGGCAGACUGGUGAGCGUCUGCGUCAAUUGCCGCUACAGUAGCAACUCCUUUCAGAAUAUUAGCUACUUUCUCCCAUGUAGGUGUUAGAGCUUUGCAGUGGCCACACCAUGGCGCAAAGAACUCUACCAAAACAACUCCAUUUGAAUUAAGAACCUGCAGCAAAGAAACAAGUUAAGAACACUAACACAGUUUCACAUCAAUUCCCAUUUCUGUUAUACCCAAACAACUACAACAAUCAACAAAUUGGAACAAUGACAUAGCAACUAAACCGGAUCUACACACUGCUCGCUCGUACUCUCUCGUCUACCAACUAGAUCAAUCUUCAACGAUGGUUUGAAAGUAAGAAAUCAGAGAGGUAACGAGCAGCGACACUCGAAAACUCUUCACAGAUAUCUUUGUUUUGUUCUGAGAAACAAUUGUGUGAAGUGCUGAUAGACCAAAAAGAUGAAAUCGAUUCAGCGCCAUACCUUGGACUUGAAGUUAGAAGCAGUGAGCUGAACCACUGGCGAAGAAGAUCCAUAAAGAGCACUGCCGAGAUCGAAAGAUCCAAAACAAAGAGUAAGAAGCGUGAGCAACGUUAUUGGUGAUUUGUACAUUUUUUUCUCUCUUUCUCUUCCUCUUCCUCUUCCUCUUCCUCUUCCUUGUUUCUCUCACUUUCUCUAUAAAAUUGUAUCACUUUCUCUCUCGCGAUCCUGUGAAGCAGCAGAUUUAAGAACAUUCGCUCCGUGGAAUUACGUAGUAUCUCCAAUCGUACCGUGACACAUCAGCAAUAAGAUAGCCGACUCUGCUUACCCUUUCUAGACAAACCCUCUGAGUCAUACAGAGGGAGUAGUUGAUUACCAUUUGGCAUUUAGUGUAUUUGUGUUGUGGGGGGUUUCAUUUCACGUAAAGCAAAAAAAGAAAGAGAUGCUAAUUUAUCUUUUGCAAAUCCAUAAAGUCAUAAACUAUUAGAUGGUUCUCAACUUUUUCUAGUUGCUGCGUCUAAAGAAUCGAAUAGUUGCUAAAAAUCAUGAAACUGAUACGUUGAGCAUCUGAAAAUUUGCUAAAAUGAUGUCAAGUUUUUAUUAACGAAAUCAAAACACUGUUCUUUUCCUAUUUUGUUUCAACCAAGGCUGUCUCCGAAACCGAAAAAAAAAAAAAAAAACAAAAAGAUAGAUAUUUCCAAGCCCUCCUUCCAAAAAAUUAACAAAAAGGGCAGAGAGAUCAAUUUGAGAUCGUUAGAUACCCUGAGAGGGAUAGACUCAGCCAGUCUGUGAUGAUGAUAUAAUUGAUUCUGAGAUCAUGAUCAUGAUCAUGUAGAUAUAACAGAUGACUCCUGCACUUUUGAGCUGUCUGGUUGUGCAGGUUUAUCGUCCUGUUUCUCAGUCUCUAAACUUGGAUCCUCUGCAUCAGGCUUACCAUUGGGCAGGGUGGUUGAAUCAGAGCGGCUUGGUGGCAAUGGGUCAUGGACUUCUGAUUUUUCUGGUUGGGUAGCAGUAUCAUCUUGUUUCUCAGUCUCUGAGCUUUGACUCUCUGGAGCAGGCUUGCCAUUGGCGAGGGUGGUGGAAUCAGAGGGGCUUGGUGGCGAUGAGAUCCUCAGAUGAGUUGAAAUUGGUGGAGCAUAAGGAUAUGGAGUAGGCAGAGAAGACAUGGCCAUGCCCGUAUUGUUGUAAGGGUUUAGUGGCAUUGAGUGAUCAUAUUUGCAGGUUGCUCCAAACUUGCAGAAUCCAUAGGCCUUGAAGUUACCACAUGCUGGUUCUCCCUGAACACAGCAAAAUCAAGAUGAAUUAGAGUCACCAAAGCUCUGUUAACAGGACAAGUUGCCGAAAUUUCAAGUUGGCAUAAAAACAAAGAAGGACAAGAGACUUACUGGUCUUACUGGAAGAACAAUAUGGUUCAAGAGAUUAGGUGACUGUAACAACCUUUCUUUCGGAUGACUGUAUUUGCAAUCAUCUCCAUAUUUACACGUUCCGGUGUUCAUAAAAAACCUACAUUCAGCUCUUUCAGGAAAACUGUGAUGAUGUGAUGUCACAGCCACGGGCACCGAUGCACUAGAACUGGAGUCAGGUUGAGUUUUCACAUUGUAAAUGGGGUUAGAUGCAGCCUGCACCACAGUAAAGAGAAGAGAGAAUUUUCUGAUUAGGACAUUCUUUUGCAAAAUGAAUAUGUUGUAAAGGAAAGUGGAGUUUAUUAAUAGCAGAAUCUCUAUCUAUUUUUAUCGUAACUUCAUGCAGAGAGAGAGAGGGGGGUUUCUACUUGACAACUGAGCAAAUAUAUUUAAGACAUACCAUGUAAGUGGCCCAGCCUUGAGGAGGUAAAAGACCUUGGGAGGGUGCAACCAUGAAGGGCAUAUAGGCCUGAGACUGAGGAACUUGAGGACGAGGCAUAGCUCCAUAUGUUGGAGGAGGCAAAGACAUCAUUGUCAUUCCACUGCCAUAAGGAAAACCAACAGACGGAAAGCUGGACAUUCCAUAUGCAGAGUGGCCAUUAGGAGCCUGUGGAUGAGGAUGAUGGAAUUUGCAGGCAACUCCGAAUCGACAUAAUCCUGUCUGCAUGUAAUACGGGCAUGACUUCUCACCCUGGAUAGAGAAGAAACAUAUAAAGUUUUCUGUCAAAUUUGAAACUAAUGGAAUAAACUGUAAUUAUAAGCAGGCUAUCUGCACGUUGUAAUCUUACCUGUCGCAUAGGAAAACCAAGAACAUUGAACAGCACGGGUCCAGCACCAUUCCUAUCCUUUGGGUGGUGAUAUUUACAUGUUGGGCCAUACUUACAGGCUCCUGUCUUCAGAAAAUACUGCAAAGAAAAUGCAUACAGAAGAGGAAUGUGUUCGUUAAUCAUCUUCAGAGAAAAAUAAAACAGUAAGAUGCAUCAACUACCAAAACUAUUAACACUUUCCAAUUACGGAAAGACUCAAAGUAAAUUUAUGUUUUGCAGCAUGAGUGUUGGAUGUUAGAUUAAGUGUCAAUCUUGUAUUCAGACUAGAACAGCUGCUCAAACAUUUCAGACCAACGCCACGAGAACAUAAACUGAGAUGAUAAGUAGUAUAAUGUAAGCAACGCACCUCACAAUCUGGCUGUCCAACCCUCUCGGGCAAUUGGUCUUUGUAAUAAAUAGCACCCUACAAGAUGUUACAAAUUGUAAGUAAGCCAGAGCAACAGAAAAGAUGCAAGAAGAGUAAGCAAAACACACAAAGUUGGUCACCUGUGGAAGAUGGGUAAGAGGAUGAUUGUAUCGGCAGGUGUUUCCAUAGCCACACUGCCCAGUUCUCAGAAAGAACUGACAAUCUCGCUCACCAGGACGAUCAGGAUAUGGACUAACUUGCUCCAAAUUGUCUUCAUUAACUUUCAUCCUCCUGAAGGUAUCUAAGAAAUUCAUAACACCAAGAACACGAGACAAGAACAUUAUGUAUCUCAAUCACCAGGGGAAAAAAAACAACAAACUCAAAUCAUAAGAAAUAAGAAUCCACUUUCCAAAGCCAAUAAGACAAUGUCAUAACUUUAAAUCACACAAAGAGCAAUCAGAAUCUAAACUUUAUAACAAUUAUGAAUACAUAAACAGAUAACAAAAUCCCACGAUAUAAAAAGACGUGAUCUUUCACUUCCAUAAAUGUUGAAGAAGCAUUCAGAAUCAAUGAUCCGACACAAGGAAUCCAACAAGAUAACUCCAAAAAGACAAAUUCGUAUUCAACCAUCAAAAAAAGUUUGGAACUUUGAAUGAUCAAAAGUCUCAAUCACAUUGAGACAUGAAUGAUCAAAAUCAACAACAAGAGAAAGUAUAUGAUCGUCAAACACAUUACGGAAAACAAACCGUUUUGAUUAGAUCUUUGAUGGGAAAAGAGAGAAAAAGAGUAACUACCUUCAAUUUUUUCUGGAGAUCGAAUCGACCCAGUAGAGUUCUGAACCUGCUGCUGAGUUUCGGACAUGGCUCGUUACAGAAACAAACACAGUCACACAAAGAGAGCGAGAGAGCGAGAGAGAGAGAGAGAAAAUCACGAAACUCUUAUUAGUCUCUUGUUAUGUUCGGAGAAGAAAAAACCAGAGAGACAAAAAUCGUUUCUUUGAGUUGUGACUAAGUAAAGAAGAGGGACGAUGAUCACAAUGAUCAAACAAACAAAAAAGAAAGAGGAAAUAAUAAGAUUGUUCCUUUUUACCGAUGAGGAAGAGCUAAUGUGAAAUAAAAAGAAGAAAAAAGCUAAAAAAAACGAUCUUCUGAAAUUUAACUUUUUUUUUUCUUUGUGUCACCCAAAGAUAGAUUUAUAUCGUUUGAACAAAUCCAAAAAAAAAAUAAAAAAGACAAAUCUCUGCCCAAAUAUUCCGAUUGGAAUGAAAUUUUUCCUUAUUCUCUGUUUGGCGAUUUCCUUUUAAUUGUAAUUUUUUUUUCCCAGAAUCUGAGAUUUUCGUGGGAAAAUUUUCGGAUCUUCCUUUUUGGUGUUUUUGCCUUUUUCUUCCCAAUGUGAAUACGAGAAAACAAAAAUAAAAAUAAUAAAAAUUGGGGUUUAAAUAAAAAAAUAAAGAAAUAAUAAUAACAGUGGCUGAGUAAUGAGUCUUUGCCCCCUCGUGUACGGAUUAAUAAAUUCUGCCGGUCCAGGUGUAAUGACUAAAAUACCCCUAUAUGUUUUCAUAAAAACUCGUUUGCUCGUGAUCUAAUUCUCAAUGUGGUGUUUCCAUCUGAGCCGUCCGAUCCGAACCUUGUGGGACCCCCUCUAUUCUCCUCUUCUCUCUCUCUUUUGGAACCUUAUUUAAUUAAAAACAAAAUCAAUUGAUUUUCUAUAUUUUUAAAUCUAAAGAAAAUAAAUAUUGUUACCCAAUCUAAAAUAAAUGUAUAACAUAUAUGUUAGUUAAUCUUAAUAGAGUUAAUACUGAAAUAAUCAAUGAUUAAAUAUUAAUUAAUUAUAAGAUAUGAUUACUUUUUUAUAUAAAUAAUGACACAAGUCACACAACUUAGGUUUCUAAAAGAAUUUCCCUGUACAGUUCAACAAAUAUGCAUAAUUUGAUUUAAUAAAUAAAAGUUUACUUUUCUUUUAACUUUUGAUUUAUUAUUUAUUGCAAAUUAUAAGUAAAUAAAAGUUUACUCAAUAAUAAUUUUUAAUAUCUACAUUUCUUUAUUUAAUAAAGAAAUUUUACAAAAAUAAAACUAAUUACAUAUUUUUUUUGGGGUAAAAAUAUAUACAUUUAAUAAACAAUCACACACACAAACACACCUAAUUUGAAAGCAGUUUCAUUCUGCGUAUCUAACUAAAUGACGGUGGCGUGGCGUGGGUGCGUGCGUGGGUCCUUUUCUUAAUUAUAAUCUUUCUCUCUAAUAAUAAAUAAUAAUACUCACUCUACAGAUUUUCCAACUAUAUUAUUAUGCUCAAUGAAUUAAUGUUUAUCUUUAUUUGAUUGACUCACUCUGAGAGCUUUCUUUUCAUUUUAAAUACAUUUUAUUACCAUUAAUAGAGAUAGUUAAUGUUAUUAAGUUAUAGCUAAACUGUAGCUAAUGCUGUAAACUUGUUAAAAAGUUUCUGAAGUCAUUUUGUUAACUACAUAAGUUAUAAUAAUUGGGAGCAUGUAGUAUGUAUUAAAAAGGAAAAAAAGGGGAUGAUGGGUGUUUUCGUCAUUUUAGUGUUGAGUAAGAGGUAAAAAGGAAAGCGUGAGCCACACGGUGUUUUUAUUUAAUAAAAAAGUACUCAUUUUUAUAAGAUUUAUUAUUGUUAAGGGGAGCUUUAUUUAAUUUUAAAAUAUAAUGACGCAUACUAAAAUGCUCUGGUACGCUAAUCUGCGGUUAGGACCAGUUUUAAUUUAUGAUGUUAUGGCCCACCCCGCUUAAUGACCAAAAUCUGUUGUAAUCGAUUGGUUCAGAAUGUACAAUUAGUUGCAAAUCCAUGCCUAUGUUGUUGUCUUUUAUGUCUUAUGUUUUUGUGGUUUUUUUUUUUUUUUCUUUUACCUCAGUUUUAGUUUUUCUCUUUUCUAAAAAAAAUAUUGUAUCACAAAAAUUCUUUAAUUUACAUCAGUUUUAGAAACUCGACAUGUAGAAAGCUAUACUGUAACUUAGAUUAUUUGUUGUGAAAAGAACUUAACUCAUGAAGUAUAAAACUAAGAUUUAUCAUAGACCUAUAAUUUAGAUCUGUUAAAUUAGUUUUAUAUCCAUUAAUUCGAACACUCAUGAACCACGAAAGACUUCUUUUACUCAAAUAAACUAUAUAUUAUUGGACAAAAAUAUUCUAUAUGAAUCUUAAUAUGCUCUUUACCGUCUUGGCUCUCCAAUCUUUUCCAAAAGAAAAUGAUUCCAUGUGGUUCCUUCAUAGAAAUCUCUUUGACUAUGAACGAUUACGAUUUACGAGUAGGGUUAUCUCCCAACCAUCCAGAGACUAACUUUUUCUGAACGGUCGUCGCCUAUUUUAGCCGUUUGGUGGGUACUCUAAAAGCUUAUCUCGCAUAUAUAUUAGUUAGUAUUAUUAACCAGUGGUGAACAAAUAGUAGAAACUGACGUACAAACAAUACAAUUGGAGUAUAAUUUUGUUGUUUUGGGGGUAAACAAGUUUGGAUUUUAAGGUAACGCACGAUACAGAAAGCAAUCGAGUAAAAAGAUAAUAAUAACAUUGAAUGCAGUUUGGCAGAAUCUACCAAGAGACCUUUUUGCAGCAUUACAUCAUAUUUUUUAAUAGGGACAGGACAAGUGUAGUGUUGUAGACUACAGGGUUCGGGGGGUUUUACUACACAACUCAGGCUUAUUGUCUUAAAAGCAAUCUAACUACUGUAUAUAAAUGGAACUCACAAGUUAAGCUUUUGUUUUCUAUUUUUCCAAAUUAGGAGAUUGGUUUGAAACGAAGAGGAUUUUAUUUAUAAUAAAUGGAAACAGAUUAACCGUUUUAAAGAAAGAAAAAAAAAUAUCAGAAACAUAGGUAUAUAUGAUGAAAUGGGAAUAGAGAGAGUUGUUGUAUUGAUGAUAUUUAUAUUUUGAUUCUAAAUUACGAAAGUAUGGAUUAAAAUAAGAAAAAGAAAGUUUAAUAAGUCAAAACCGGCUUUAGAUAUCUUAGAGGGACAAAAGAAUAGAAAAGCAGACACGAUUCGUAAACAGUUUGAAAAAAGAAACAGGCUUUGGGACCAAGCCAAAGCUAAAUAAGCUUCCUUCUCUUGACUCGUCCCGUCUCGUCGUCGUGAACUAAAAGAAGAAAACAUUAGUUAAGAGAGGAAAGGGCAAAGUGGUCAAAAGGAGUAAUAUUUUGAGUCAUGCACAAGUAAUCUCCUGCAUCGCACAGCAAGGUAGGACCCACGCGUGUGUAACCAAAAAAUGAUACUGACCCGUCAGUCUUGUGCCACGUAACGUCCACUUCAUUACAAAGUUUUCUAGUGUGCACGUGGGUUUUGACGCGGUUUGUUAUGACCGGUUUGACCGUUUGAAAUACUUUUACGUCAAGCCUUUUGUUUUUUUUUGUUUUCUUUUCUCUGCUGCCCCAUACAGAGAUAUUUUGACUUUUACGAGAAACCAAAACAAAAUGGUUUGCAUUUUAUAGAAAUUAAAAUCCAAAAACAUAUUAUCCCCUAAAAGCUUGUAAAUCCCCGCAUAUCAAGGAGAAAACGCAACUUGGCCUACGAAUAAAGCCUCUUUUUAAUCUACGCGAGGCUCUUUCUGAUGAAACUGUUACUGUAGAUGAUGAUGAUGAUGAUGAUGAUUGUAGCAUAUAUGCAAAAUGAUCAACUUCCUCUAUAGAGAAGAUUUGGUUUAGUUAUACUAGCGAGAGAGAUAGGGGACGCAGAACUACUUUAUAUCUACUCAGCAGAAGAACAUGUUGCUUUCCACUCUCUCGUGCAGACGUGGUAGCUCUGCAACUUUCCCGUCCUCUAGUAUCAUCUCUUCAGACCUAUUGAAUUGCGCAAACUGAGCUGCUGCCAGAUGAGCGUAUCGCACUGGGGCCACUGAGAAACCACAAAAGAGAGGAGGUUACAUUGAAUAUUCAGCUGUGUGGUUUCUGUUUAGUAAAAUACAGAAGGAUGCAUAAUUUUAUUAUUAGAACAGAGUUUGGUAAGGGAGUGUUUACCAAUCGAAGUUGCUGUUGUGCUACGUUGGUUGCUGUAACGACGAUGAUUCCACACAGUUAGAUCUUAGUGAUGGAAAAGAUAACUUGGUUUUUCUAAGUGACAUUAGAGAGAACUUACACAUAGGAGAGGGAAUGGAUCAGAUUCUGCAAGUCAUCUGGGGAGAAACCAAUCUCAUCAAGUAAUACAUGGUAAUGGGCCGGUCUUGAAGUUCCCUGAGAUAUCAUUAUGAGGGAAACAUUAUGUGGGACUGUAAUAAAGGUGUUAGAUGUGAAGCUUUUGAAAAUAAACAAGCGUCAGUUUUUUUUAAUAUCUUUUUUUUUUUGUUGUCUAAACUUACUAUUAUUCCUGCAUGAGCACACAUGUAAAAAUCGUAGUUUGUCGGGUGUACGAUCUUGGUGUCCACAACAGUUCCUGACAAACAUGAUUGCUUUGUAUGAAGACAUUGUUCUGGAGAGAAAUGGAAUCGUAGUGUGGAUGAUGAAGAAUAAAGAGUAUUUCUUACCUGCAGGAACAUUUUCAGGACCCUUAGCUUGAAACAACUUGGUGUGGUGCUUCUUCUGAGCCACAAUGACAGUGAACUUUGGCACAUCAGAUUCACCAAGACGUUGAUACGCCUGUGCCAUGUAAAAAAAAGAAGCAAAACUGUUAACCAAUAUCUUCACUAGGAUUUGAAUUAUAGAUUGAAAACAGAAUUUGAUAGAAGCCAAAACAAGCCAUGGGACUUUUAAGUCAACCUUUAUUAUUUGGUCCACCUCGAUGUUCAAGACUUGGUUGAACUGUGAUCCACUCACACCAUCCCUAUCAAAUGCUUUGGGUAAGGAUAGACUAUUGGAUAUUGGAGGUUAUACAACAGAGAGAUAAACAGUAAAUGUUUCGUGCUAGUACCUGAAAAUGAUAAUUUGCUUAGGCUUUCGUGCCCUGCUUGUCCGAUAGAACUCUACAAAUAGUUCGCUGUUGGAAACAAAUAAUUAAACACGGAGAAGUCACUUUAACAUCUUCAGUACGAUAUCUCAUGAGUUGAUGAAAUAAAUAAAAAUAAAGCUGAUAAACUAGGGUUCACAUACUUCAUGAUACCGUUAUCUCCUUUCUCAGUGUUCUCGAUAGGUUGGAAGAGCGAAUCAAUCAUCUCCAGACGUGGUGCCUGAGUUCUUACAGCUGCCCUAUACCUUGAGAUUAAGGGCCAGCAUUUUGAACCAACAACCUUGUAGCAGAGGUCGAAAAAGUAAACAGAUAAAGAACCAGAUCCUAAGAAAACCAUAAACAAUGGACAUACAAAGGAAAAUGCACAUAACCAAUACCGCUGCUACUGAAGGAACAUCUGCCCGACCUGGAGGCCCAUGAGAUACAUCCAUACCCAAAAUCAAGGUGGGAAUUUUGUUUAUCAAUGGAACGUUGUAAGAAUACUCUAUCCCCAGCAGAGAAUUGAUGCCUCCAAGCUAAUCAAGACAAAAGAGAAGAAGUUAAUCACAAGAACAACACAUCAAAAGAUAUCUCAUGUGUUAGCUUUUGGUGUUAUACCUUAGAAUUUAUCUUCAGAAGUACAUUGGUGAGAUAUUGGUCACUGAUCUUGAUAGGGCAGAUGCACUGUGUGUUGAUCCCUUCAUCAGUGAGGCAAAUCUUCUUCCAGGGACCUUUAUAGUUUGCAGUAACCAGUUGAAUGAGAGAGUUCAAACUUUAAUAACCGCAGGAAAAAGGUGAGAUGAUACCAUAGAUAUCAGAAGUUUUCCGUUCUGGCAGGACACAGAGGAUAAAAUGAGGAGGAUCUGGAAAUUUCAACUUCAUCUUUGCAAUCAUUUUUUCUACCCUUUCAACAGGACCUGCUUUUUUAUACUGUGGAUCUUCUUCAACUAGUGCAAAAGGUCGAUCAAUUUCCUGCGAUUUGAUAAACCAUAUUCAGACCCUAUAAAUAACCAGAAAAGACAUAGUUCAACACUUAACACACCAUAUGAAAAUGGAGAGAGUAUCUACGAAACCUACAAUGCCUUUCUUCAUGCCACAGCUUAUAAGCUCACGGCAAAUGUGACUACUGUCGCAUGGAAAAGAAAAGUUGACGACAGCCCAGUUUUUAAUAGGUCUUGGUUCUAGAAGCAUCUGCAAGCAAGAAACAAAGGGUUCAAAUGAAAGGGAGAAAGACUAGUUUGGGAAUAAUAGGUUCAAUCCAAAAAAAAAGAGAGUCAGGAACUAGAAUCCACAGUAAUUAAUAUAAUGAUACCGGAAAUCUUUGCAGACAAUUACCUUGUUGUUAAAGUUCCACCGUCCGUUGCAAGGUUCAAAAUCUUCAUUCUUGCCAAACUUGAGCUGUAUAUUACAAAUGGGACAAUAUGAGAAUUUAAGGGGGAUGGUAGCUCCUGUUUAUCUAUCAGAUAUUGAAACAUAAAUAGGAUUUACCAUUGGGGGCUUGAGAAUCCGACCUUCAACUUGAGUCAUUUGUUUUUCAAUUGAGAUGCCACAUCCAGCCAAAAAUGGGUCCUUGUCAUAGGUAUGCAUUGCCUACAAUUCUAGUCAGUAACAAUAUCUACCAUCCAAGAUAAAAAAAAAAACACAUCAGCCGAGGUCAGAAAACAAAUCUCACAUCAUUGAGUGUUUUAAUUCUAUCUAGAGGUUUUUGUCUUGAUUUUUCGGCAAGUGAAGCUCUUUGCCUCCCUGACAAUGCUUUUGUAUAACGUUGCAGAGAUACAAGAUUACAAAACUGCAAGAAAAAUAUGAGAAAAAUGCAAAAUUACACCUCCAGAAGUGGGAUAAUAGACUAAAAAAAUUAACUAAGAAAAAACUGUUGGAAAUGCAUACCUCCAGAGGAAGAUAGAUAGGGCGAUUUGGCUUGCCAACAUCAAGGCAUGGCAAGUACGCAGAAGAAGUAGGCUGUGUGUAAGUUUGCUUGAAAUAGUCAUACACAGUAAUCUCUCUAGUCUGUUCUUCACGUUCACCAUCUUUGAUCUUCAUCAAAAACCUGGAAAACGAUGGAAAAAGUCAAGCAAAAGUUGAUAAAGGUGACACAAAUUUAUAUCGAAGUAUACAAUCAUGGGGAACAUACAGUUGCUGAUUGCACGGUUUCUGACUUAGACCUAUGAUUUUAAAUUCCAUGUCUCGGUGUGAUGCCUUUACCCGCAUAUUUUUAAGCAUUUUUGCGGCCUGCCAAGUUUCAGUGAGAAAUUCAAAAGCUCAAAACAAAAGCAACCGUGUAUCAUGUAUGUUCCUUGUUAUUGCAUUUAAAAGCAGAAUUACCUUAAUCCAGUCGAUUUGUCGUGGGGACUCAACACUUUGAUUGGCUUUCAGGAAUUCAAUAACUGGACCCGCUUCUACGAUCAUUGUUGUUGACACAUCUGCAAACCAUCGCAAAACAAUCCCGUUUUGAGAAUUUUUAAAGCUAUCAACUAUAAAGACUAUGUAAGCUGGAGAUGAGAGAGGUGAACCAAAAAAAUACCAAUGUUAAGCGAGAGUCCUCCAUGGGUUGGACGAAAGCUCGAGUGGAAACCUCGAAGACCUUUUGCACCUCCUCCAAUGUCAAAGGAGUACCCAUUGUUAUGGAAAAAUGCCUGCCUGAUCAAAAGGCAUGCCCUGCACAAUCAACAGUUUUCUAUAGUAAGUUUCUAUUCAGAAAACGAAUUAGUUGUACAUAUAUUAGAUUUACCAAUAAAUGACCAAAAAGAAAAAGAUUUACCAACAAAGUGAAAAUAUGAUGAUAAACUUUGUCCCUUAGAAUGUAGAAAGUAUCUUUUUCUUAAUGAUAAUAUAUACUGCACAUUACGCAAACAGAUGGAAAGAUGCACCUUUCAGCUGCUUGCUGCCUCAGAACAGUGUCAAGCACUCUAAGUGCAUCCUGGGCACUCUUAUCUGGUGUAACAGCUCCUCUCUGAGUGACAAGAACAGUCUUUAAUGGUAUUUUGGUAACAAAAUGUAUCUGAACCUUGUAACUUCUUGGCAAGAAAGAACAUUUUGAUCUCUUGCAAGUACCGGAAGAACUAUCACCAUUAGAGAUAUCAGCAUCACUACAAACUUAACAAGACUGUGUUAGAAAGAACAUCAACAAGAUCUAUAUUGCACACCUUGAGAAGAUUAAAUAUCAAUCCAGAUAAGAGGGACCUACCGUUUUGAAAAUGAACCUUCCAAGAUGACUUGAAAGUCAAAUUCAUUCUGUGGCAGAGGACCAACAGUAUAUAAACUCUUCUCUCCAUCAUAUGCCAACCUUUUACCAUCAAGAUCAGAAGAGUAAGUCUUGAAUAGUUGGUCCAUAAGCUUUCUUCUUAUCCCUUUCCCAUUGACAUCAUCACCAUUUUCUGUGGUGAUACUAACCUGCAAAAAAAGCAAAAUAUGUAAAACAUCGCAUAGACACACAAACACAGAUAAAUGAAUGCAGGAAAGCGACUAAUCAAUCUUACAGUGUACUGGUAAAAUACUACAUCCGGAUGUCUCACAGAAACGUUGAAGUGAUUGGUGCACAAUUCUAUUGGGUUGCCUGUAGUUCCAACUCCAAGUCUAGUUGUGAUGGCAUAAUCUCGAUGGCUGGGCUGUUCUGGUGUUAUACUUAUGGGUGACAGUGGCAGAGAUGAAGAUGUCUCCAUGUUUCCAGGGGAAGAUAAUCUGCAAGAGAGAAAACUAGAGGUUUUGGAAAAAUCAGCCCAAAAUACAAUGUUCAGAGGACUCAGAAAGAAGAAGAAAAACACACCAAAAAGACGAGUAGAACAUCACAAAUCAUUACAUAUUACAGCGGACAACAUGCCACAAAGUUACCACAAAACAUCCUAGAUUCUUGUAAUAGGUUGAAGCUAAGGAAAGAGAAAACAAUAAACCAUCAAACAGGUAACAGAACAGAUCAAAGAUGAGUCAGUAUCCUUGAAAUUUUGAAGGAAACACGAUAAUGACAUAAAGCCUAUAUCCUGAAUGAACCGAGAAGCAACCCUUACCAAGCUUUUCAUGGCAGAGUUUUGCAACAAAGAAUAAUAGACCUGGAACUGCUUCUCCCUAAACCCUGAUCAUCUCACUCACUCAUCCUCAGACAACUCAUUUACUCUGAUUUAUUAGGGUUUUUAUUCAGACACAUGAGGAAGAAAGGAUAAUCGCCAUGAACAUCUUCAAGAAGAAGACCACUCCCAAAGAUAAAAAGCUAAAAACUUUACUACCAUUGUCGUUCUGAGAUUUUGUUUCCUGAUUUUUUUUUUCUAUUUCUGUCUAAAUCGCUAAGAAUGGUAUCAAUUUCAGUUGGGGAACAAACUUAAUCUGGAAAAAAUGGAAACUUUUAACUGUUGGGCGAGUUCAAAUGCGUCAUGCAGUCAGCGAGAGAGACAACGCUACAAACAAUUGGAGAAGAAGAAGAAGAAAAAAAAAACUGAAAAUUCAAGUAAAAUGAUGUACCUUGAGAGAAGUACAAAUGCGAUUCCUAGGGUUCCGGUGAAUCAGAGAGCAGCAAGGAGGAGGGAUUUAGCUCAUUUCUGGUCUCCGUCAGUCUCUUUGGGUUUCCCAGAAAAAGCAAAUGGGAGGGAACGUUUCGAGUGAUGUAGAAAUUAAAAAAAAAAUCACUUUUCGGGUAAAUUCUUAUAUUCACAUUUAAAAAAUUUGAGAAUUGAGAUCAAAAUUAUCAAACCGAACCAUUCAAAAAUCAAAAAGACUUGGUUGGUUUAGAAAUUGCAAGACAUAAGUUUCGAAUACACGACGAAACAAACCAUCAUCGUCAAUCACAGACUGAUGUUGCCAAUGAACAUUUGAGGUUGUAGUCUACAAUAAUGACUAAACCGCUUCAAACCAAAAAAGAAGAAAAGAAUUUCAUUAAACCGGAAAGCCCGAGGGCGAUAAAGUAAACCGGAUAAUUGACCCGUACCCGAACAUGAAGAAACAUCAGCCACACGCGCCGAAAGAAGCGCGUAGAAAACAACGUGUAUGUUUUGUAUCCUCAGAAAAGAACCACCGUGGAUCCCACCACACCUCAGGCUUCACUUCUCUCUCUCAUCUCCGUCAUACCCACCACACUUUCUCACAUUUCCGAUUUUUUGAAGAAAAAAUUUGAAAAAGAAAAUUUCAUGGAAGAUAUUUCGACGGAUCCGCUUGUUCCGGCGGUGAAACCUGACCCGAGGACAUCUUCAGCUGGCGGAGAAGGUGCUAAUCGUCUUGAAAAUGACGACGGAGGAAGCGGUGGCUCUGAGAUUGGAGCGCCGGAUCUGGAUAAGGACCUGCUCUGUCCGAUUUGUAUGCAGAUUAUUAAAGAUGCUUUCCUCACGGCGUGUGGUCAUAGUUUCUGCUAUAUGUGCAUCAUCACGCACCUCAGGAACAAGAGUGAUUGUCCUUGUUGUAGCCAACAUCUCACUAAUAAUCAGCUUUACCCUAAUUUCUUACUCGACAAGGUUUCUAUUUCUUUCUCUAGUUUUUGCUCAUAGUUUGUGUCUGGAGAGUCAGUUUAUAUGGUUGUUAUGGGUCCAUGAUAGUGGGUAUUUUGUGGUUUUGGUGUCUUCGCUUUUCGAUUCGAGUUUGGCUGCUGCUCGUUUGAGUCUUAGCUUGUAAUCAAGUUUAGUUCUUGUCUUUAUUUUUGUGGAAGUAGGAAGCUGAUUAGUCUUUAACCGAAUGCCAAUGAACCAUAGAGUAGAUGUUCACGGAAAAGAUUUCAAUGGUAUCUCUCUUGAGAACCUGUGUUUUCUUUUGUUAAUAGGUUAAAAGCAGUAGAGGUGAUAAUGAUGUAGUAGUAGUACUAUUUACUCUGUGAUAGGAAUUUGUGAUGAUAAUUCGCUUUGUUUCUGAUGCGUAGUUUAUGGUAGGAUUCUGUUAUUGCAGUUGAGAGGAGUUAACUUAUUGCCGUCUUACAUGCACGUUCAAACGUAGACUUACUCUUUGUUUACUGAACUUGAAAUAAUACACCUUAUGAUAUGACUUCUCUGUACCACUUGUGUAGCUAUUGAAGAAAACCUCAGCUCGACACGUGUCAAAAACUGCAUCGCCCUUGGAUCAGUUUCGGGAAGCACUACAAAGGGUCGGUUCUUAACAAGCCUUUAUGUUCCAGUUUUCCUCUUUAAAUUCGCAUACUCAGAUUUAUCAGUAAAGAACAAAUUCUAAGUCAUUUCUUAUCGAUCAAAUAUUGAUUUCCUGCGUUCAUCCUUAGACAGGGUUGUGAUGUGUCAAUUAAGGAGGUUGAUAAUCUUCUGUCACUUCUUGCGGAAAGGAAGAGAAAAAUAGAACAGGAAGAAGCUGAGAGGAACAUGCAGAUACUGUUGGACUUUUUGCAUUGUUUAAGGAAGCAAAAGGUCGAUGAACUAAAUGAGGUUGGUCUGUUUGGAUUAUGGAGUAGCAUUAAGAUACCUAUUAGUAAUUAAUCUCUUUGCUCUCCAUUCCAUCUGCUUUAAAAUCUUUCCUGGGUAAUAUGCUGUAAAAGGAAGAAACUAAUAGUUAAAGAAGAAAGCCAGAAACAUGUUUCUAGCAAUAAUUCUAUCCCAACUCUUCUUGAGACAUUAUCCAUGAAUGUUUUAGAUGAGUUCUCAGGAACAAACGACUGUUACAGAAUUCUGUCAUUUAUGCAGUUUCUAUCAUAAUGUAGGUGCAAACUGAUCUCCAGUAUAUCAAAGAGGAUAUAAAUGCCGUUGAGAGACACAGAAUAGAUUUAUACCGAGCCAGGGACAGAUAUUCUGUAAAGUUGCGGAUGCUUGGAGAUGAUCCAAGCACAAGAAAUGCAUGGCCACAUGAGAAGAACCACAGUGGUCUCAACUCUAAUUCUCUGAGCAUAAGAGGAGGAAAUUUGGUAGGCAAUUAUCAAAACAAAAAGGCAGAGGGAAAAGCACAAGGAAGCUCUCAUGGGCUACCAAAGAAGGACGCGCUGAGUGGGUCAGAUUCCCAAAGUUUGAAUCAGUCAACUGUCUCAAUGGCUAGAAAAAAACGGAUCCAUGCGCAGGUUUGCUCUUUCUUGUCUACUCAACAUCUUGAACAUGUCUUUUAUGUUGAGAUGGUCCAAGGACAGCGGGAUUAACGUUUCAGAUUUUAGUCUGUUAAAGAGAAACACAAUUUAUAGAAUUGUGCUACAAGUAGUAUCAUGCCUAGCUACUCACUUAGUGAGAUGGAUCGACAGCUCAAAAAACUGAAAGUGGUUGGGGGUAGAAUACGAGUCUACUUACGGAAAAGACACCUUCUAUUAAGGCUCACAUAUUCGGUGGUCUGUAUACAGGCCGGUUGGCUUCAGAGAGUAAUCGGUUUCGCAUUGUUUGCAUAUAAAAGUAGAAAUAGUGUUCUAGACUUUAUAUCUAUUGCUUAGUGAUAGUAGCCGGUUCUUGUCUCUCUGGUACUGUAGCAACAAAAGACUAUGUUUUCGAGGCACACUUAUCAUUUCUGUGAAUAUUAUGCAAUGGCAUCUAGACAAUUAUAGUAGUUUUCUAUCUAUAUGUAACUGCCUGUUGAUAUAUACACUAGAUUGCCUAAUUCUGUGUGUGUGUCUUGUCUUGUCUUGUAGUUCAAUGAUCUACAAGAAUGUUACCUCCAAAAGCGGCGUCAGUUGGUGGACCAACCAAAUAGUAAACAAGAAAAUGAUAAGAGUGUAGUACGGAGGGAAGGGUAUAGCAAUGGCCUUGCAGAUUUUCAAUCUGUGUUGACUACCUUCACUCGCUACAGGUAGGGUAGUGACUGUUCCUUUUCAAUUGGUCUAGCUGUACAUAAAGAGUGUUUUCGAAUUUAUCAGAUGUUUAAUUGCCCCCUUUAUUCACAGUCGUCUAAGAGUCAUAGCAGAAAUCCGGCAUGGGGAUAUAUUUCAUUCAGCCAACAUUGUAUCAAGGUGAACUUCUUUUCCUUAUUCGUUUGAGCAGAUGAAAGAUGAACACUAACGAAGAGCGUCUUCUAAAAGACUGUCUCAGAAAGUGUCAAAAUGUACCAUUAAGUGAUCAAGUUUUGUUUAAUGUAUGGAUAGACUCAAUUACUACUAUGGGAUCCGUUGCUGUAUAAUUCUAAGCCAGUGAAUGGUAUGAAGAUGAUUCUGCUGACAUGGUAGGCAGAAGGUUUUGUGUUAUCGGCAAGCCACUUGAGAAGAAUUUUCUAAAAGAUGGAACACUAUGUUCUCCUUAUCUAUGUCGUAACAUAUUUUAAAGCUGUUUGCGAUCUUUAAUAUGAAAGUAACUUUUCUCAAUGAAGGGACGAAAGAUUUUUUCAGUUGCUCCUGGGCACAUUAUCUUUUUUCUCUAUGUGCUUUGAUUUAUGGUCUUUCAGUAGUUUACAUGCUUUUUGUUUUGCAUGGACCUGUAAUGUAAUGUACCAUAUUGCUUGACUUGCUGAAGAAGUGGGUGCUAUUCCUUUUCAGCAUAGAGUUUGAUCGUGAUGAUGAGCUGUUUGCUACUGCUGGUGUUUCUAGAUGUAUAAAGGUUUUUGACUUCUCAUCGGUACGUUAAAAAAUCUUGGAGGACAUUCAGUUACAUAGUAAUUGAUUAUUCUUGUCGAAAUUUAUGCUUUUGUGAACAAAAUCAUGCAUCUCAAUUCUAGGAAAGCUUCAUUGAUAAUGAAACUAAAUUAUGCUCUUGGGAAAAUCUAGCUGUGAUGCAUGAUAGCCAUUUACACUUUAGUAUUGCGUGGAAAAUAUAAAUCCAAGCUUGGAAAUAGUCAAAUUUUGAUUUUAGUUUCUGUCUUGUUCAAUGGACCACUCUGGACUGGUUUAUCAUUUGGUACAACUUUUCAGGUUGUAAAUGAACCAGCAGAUAUGCAGUGUCCGAUUGUGGAGAUGUCAACUCGGUCUAAACUUAGUUGCUUGAGUUGGAAUAAGCAUGAGAAAAAUCAUAUAGCUAGCAGUGAUUAUGAAGGAAUAGUAACGGUGUGGGAUGUAACUACUAGGCAGGUGAGUACUUUUCCCAACUUAUCUAACAUCGCGCCUUAUAAUAUCAUCUCAUGAAUCGUGAAAACUGAAAAGUAUCUAAAAUUUUAUGUGAACAACUGGUGGCAGAGUCUUAUGGAGUAUGAAGAGCAUGAAAAACGGGCCUGGAGUGUUGACUUUUCACGAACAGAACCAUCAAUGCUGGUCUCUGGUAGUGACGAUUGCAAGGUAUCUUCAGUUUUUUUCGUUAUCACCUUUCAUCUCGCAUUGGGCUCUGUAUCAUAUAAAAGAAUACUAUCUUAGAUAUCUAGAUCUUAUGAAUAACUUGGUCGCUCACUGAUUUGUCUAAUUUCAAAAACUAGCUAAAGAGACAUAAUGAAACAUAACUGGAAAAUCUCCUGCUUCCUCAUUAGUACUUUUUUCUACUCAUGACUCUUUUCUACUGUUUCUUAAACUUUUUUUGUGAGGUGUUCUUUCCAACUUACGGAUUGGUCAUAUGUUCCCUUUUCUACGUUGAAUGUUUGUUGGUUCUUAAAUAUUCAGCAUAGUGAUCCCCCUUAGUGUAUCUGUGGCGGCUAGACAUUAGCAAGCGAAUGAUACUGGACACUUGUAUUGUAGUAAAUCAUACCUUAAAAGUCAUUGGUUAUUUAAAAAAUCAUGGUGGAUGUGAUUUUGACUAAUUUCACUAGAUUUCUAAUUCUUGCUGAAGCAUGUUAUACCAGUGGGAUCCUUUUUAAGUCAAUACACUACUUUUUAAACCUUUCUUAACCAUGCAUUACUGCAUUUGUUACAUCAGGUUCAUAGAUUAGCCAAUUGUACUCUGUUUUUGAUCCAGGUUAAAGUAUGGUGCACAAAUCAGGAAGCAAGUGUGCUUAAUAUUGAUAUGAAAGCAAACAUUUGUUGUGUCAAGUACAAUCCUGGCUCAAGCAACUACAUUGCGGUAUAUACUCCCUUGCCUCUGCCAACUUUGCAUCUCACAUUAUUCGCUAUUCAAUAUUGAGCUACCACUUAUGAUCAGCAUGACACUAUCACACGUCUGUAGAUCUAAUCUUCAAUUAGACAGAGAGACUUAGACGUUUAAGCCUGUUGACUUAUUGCAGGUCGGAUCAGCUGAUCAUCACAUCCAUUAUUACGAUCUAAGAAACAUAAGUCAACCACUUCAUGUCUUCAGUGGACACAAGAAAGCAGUUUCUUAUGUUAAAUUUUUAUCCAACAACGAGCUCGCUUCUGCAUCCACAGAUAGCACACUACGUCUAUGGGAUGUCAAAGACAAUUUGCCAGUAAGAUUACGGCUUGAGCCAAUCCUGCUGAUAUUGUCCAAGGAAAAAAUUCUUGACCAAUGUUGUUCAAUAUUACUUGGCGUUUCUUUUUCAGGUUCGAACCUUUAGAGGACAUACUAACGAGAAGAACUUUGUGGGUCUCACAGUAAAUAGCGAGUAUCUUGCCUGUGGAAGCGAGACAAACGAAGUAUAUGUAUAUCACAAGGUUCACAAAUCUGACAUUCCUGCUUAUAACUUUUAUCAUCUACAGUUCAUUAUUCACAAAUCAAAUAUAUCUUUCCUUGCUCAAGUAUUUGGAAAUGUGGAUGAUGUAAUGCAGGAGAUCACGAGACCCGUGACAUCGCACAGAUUUGGAUCGCCAGACAUGGACGAUGCAGAGGAAGAGGCAGGUUCCUACUUUAUAAGUGCGGUUUGCUGGAAGAGUGAUAGUCCCACGAUGCUGACUGCGAAUAGUCAAGGAACCAUCAAAGUACUAGUACUCGCAGCAUGAUUUUAAAUAAACAUUACAAAAAGGUAUUAUAGCUUCGUGAAUCAAUAAAAGCAGUAAAUUUGGCAUCUAUGUAUGUUAUUUAGUGGGGAUUUAUAGAGAUAAAACCAUUUGUCAAAAGUAGUAGAGGUUCAUCAUUUGGAAAGUAACUUUUGUAUUAUGAUGCUCUCGACUACGAACCCUCGAGAAAAAAAUUUGUAUCAGAAAUGUAAAUAUACGUUGUCCCUAUGGUUUCUUAGUUUCUAUAAUUGAUUGUUUAAUCAAAAUGUCGUAAUGUGUGAAUCUGUAAUUGAAAAGUCAAACCUUGGCUUACCUAUCAAAAAGGUCCAGCCCCAUGCAAUAAUAAGUCAUUAAUAUGUUGUGCAUAUAUGUAGCAAGAUCAUUGAGGAAAAUUCUCAUAUUAUAGUGCAAAUUAAUUGACGCUUUUGUGUCAUAAAGAGAUAUUAGUACUAAACAUCUCUAAUCUAACUCGUAAGUCGUAACAAAAUGUGAUUGUGUGACACGGUCUCAUGAAAUGGUCGUAUUGAUAUUGUAAUAAUAAUUCUUUUAUAUUUGAAUACGCAACUAGGAAUGGCAUGAAAUUUUGUAUAAUUAGAUGCAUGCUUUGGGAAGUUUUAAAUCCCAUGGCACAACUGAACAACAUGUCAACAUUAUUACAAGUCUCUUUUAAAUAAGUCUCUUCACUUGCCCAUCAUAUAUCAUCCUAGUCAUUAUAAUUAGGUUAAGUGGCUUAAUUACAUAAAAGAAUUGCUAUUUAAUUACAUGUUUUUCUAAUUCCCUAAGUUUCAAGUCUUUGACUUUUUGCAACAAAGAAGAAUUAAUACAAAAGAAGUCAAAAACCUAAUUUAAAUGGAAAGAACGACUUUUUUCCACAACGAGGGAGACACCUUAAUGUGUUUCUUCCCUUUAAGCAACCGUAGCCAUCAAAAUCCUAGUUUCUUUCUCUCUUAAUUAAUCAAUUUUGCUUAAUUGAUGAUACUAAACUCUCAUAACAUUGUUCGAUCGAUAGAUCUAGCAUAUUUCUCUUUCAUGUUUUGUUUAUUACUAGUAAAUAUAUUUUAUGCAUCUCGUUAAACUCAUAACCACAACUAAAAUUUGAUCAUGGUAAUUAAUAAGAAAUUCGAGAAAGGAAUCAGCAAGUCUUCUUUCAUAUAUAUAUAUGAAUUGAAGAACUGUGGAUAAGAUUGUAUUAAUGUUGUUAAUUUCUUGAGCCUAUAUAUAAUUUAGCUAUAUAAAGCACGCAUGGUAUCAAGUCAAUGUUCUCAAAAAACAUUACUAUAUUAGCAUUGUUAAUUCUUAGAAUAUAUAAAUAUAGUUAGAUGGUUACAGCUUUGGAUUUUUCGUUGUUAUGGUAAACGCGUAUCGUUUCAUGUUAGCCACAUAUAUACAUAUUUUACUUUCAAAGUUCACACAUCGUAUAAUAAAUUUAUAAUAUAUAUGUAGGCAGACUCACGCAACUAUAUACCUAUGAAAUCUAAAUGUGAUGUCUUCUUUUAUUUUGUUGUUCGUCACUAAACUUAACGUCAAGUUACUAGCUAGCUCAUAAAUUGUUUACUAUUAUUACGUAAUUGGAACAAACGAUAUUCAUAUGUAUUUUUAACUUUUUAUAUACCAAAACCCCGAGUAUAAUCAUAUAUAUACUCGUAACUCGGUAGUGAAUGACUCUGAGAACACAAAAAAAAAAAAAAAAAAAAAAACUACAGGUAGAAGGUAGUAAUGGGAUGACUCGGAGCCAACACUUUCACUAGCUACGACUUUUUUUCUUUUUUUUUGUAGUUGUUGUUAUGGUUGGUAUAUCAUAAAGUCAUAUAAACUCGAGUUUUAUACCUAAAAAAUUAUGCCUUAAGAGUUUUCAAAAUACGACAAACAGAGAAACACUAUACAAUAUAUAUUUAUACAACUUGUACGUCGAGCUCUUUUUUUAAUUUGGUUUCGAAACGAGCUAUAUACUGCAAGAGCGUUUUCUCAAAAUAUAAUAUUCCAUUAGUCUAUUAUUUCCUUAACAUGAGAAUGAUCGAAACCCUUUAACAAAAUUUAUUAUGCGAUUUGAAUAUAUUAAUUAAGCACGUCAAAGUUGAUUAAUCAAGUACCACAAAACAAGAUGACAUAAAAAAAAAAAAAAAUCAAAGUACCACAAAACACAAUAUAAUUGCCUAUAGACCCUAGUAAAUUAACCCAUUAAUUGAUUUGUGGGCUUCAAUAAUUAUGAAGUCUUCUUUCCUCAUUCAAGUAUUUUAACGGAUCCAAGUUAAUUUAAAUAAGGUGAAAAUUUGUUCUUCCUUGCUUAGUAUUAGUAUGAAUUGGUUUGUCUAUAUAUGUCUCACUUACGUAUUUGUAUUAGCAUAUAUAUAUAUAUAUAUAAUAUUCUGCACUUCAAGUUUUUUAUUUUUAUUUUGGGUUACAAGAAUAAUGCGAGCAGAGUUAAGUUGUCGACACGAUCAACCUUCACAAGCUAAGAAAUGGAAAAAAAAAAAAAAAAAAGAAUAGCUACUCGAAUUAUUAUUAAGUAAGUAAUAAAAUUUGGUGGCUUUACAUUGGAAUAUUUGACCACUUGAUCCUCCAAAUAAAAUUAAUAAUUGUUUUAAUAAUUAACUUAGUGAGCAGUUUCCAAAUCGAUUCUCAUCCGCACGAGUCGUUUUCACUUUUUCUUUUUUUCUCUCUCUGUUGAACAUGCUCCAUCCAUAUAUAUACAGCGCACAUAACAUACUUGAAAGGUAUAAAAAUCAUAUAUAUAUUUCACAACUCAAAGAUUUGAAAUCAAAAACAAAAGUGAUGAAUCAUAUGGAAGCUUUGUGUUGUAUGUAUUUUUCAUAUAUUUGUUUUUGAUGGCCAACUGAAGUUAAAUUAAAAACUUUACAUAGAGCCACAUAAUUAAUUAUACACGUAUUCGUUAAUAAGAAGACUUGAAAUGUUGGAAUUUUCAAAAAGAAAUGGAGGAUAAUAAAAUUGUUUUUUCUUUUUGUAUAUUGUUCUUCAUCUUUAAAUGUAUUAUUAAUCAUUGAAAUAUUCCAAAAUAAAAGCAAAAUCUAAAGAUUCUAUGAUCGUUCGUGUUAAUAUAUACACUAUUAUAUUCAUCAUCAUUGGUCGAAAUAUAUAUAUAUGUCAUUCGAUAAAUUCGACCAAGAUUCAAAAUAUAUAUUUCCAAUUAUAGUUUUCCAGUACUUAUAGCUAUUGUUAUAUGGGAAUUUAAUGAAAAAAACCCUCAAUAUUGGCCGGAUCCAUUUUUAAACCCUCAACUAUUUUUUUAGUAAAUAAAACCCUUAACUAAAAAACAUUAACAAAUUUAACCCUCCGUCUAUAAAAACAUACAUUUAUACCGUUAACAAUUUCGUAUACUCUAGCAGAACAGUAAAAUGAAAACCACUAGGCAUAUUUUUAAACAUAUUACGAUCACAACACAAUUUUUCGAUUAUAGUAUUCUGCAAUUCAUGAUGGAAAAUAUAAAAUUUGUUUUACUUUUAAUUUACCUAAGAAAAGUAAAGAUUAAUGUUUAUAUAGGGCAAGAUAUCUCAUGUUAAUUUAUAAAUAUUUUAUUCCCAGCAAUAAAGAUUGCAAAUUGUACAGCUAUAAAUCCCUAAUCGGAUAUAUUCGGUCUGAUGGUCUAGCAAAUUCUUUUUGGAGUGUGUUAAUUAUAUUUUAUGGAUUCAGUGAUCCAAAAGACAACCAGAUAUAUAUAUUCAUUCAAAGUCACUAAUUAAACUCUUAAAAACGUGUGCAUAUAUCAUAAGAAGAAAAAAUAAUUUUUAUUUAAAAUAGUAAAACACUAUUGGAUUUGGAUCACCAAUCGAAAAAACUUGAUUAUCAAAACUCCCAAUUGAUCAUACACAUAAAUUAUCAAUAGUAGUUUUUCUAUUACGGGAUUUUUUAUUUAUAAAUUUUAAAAUUAUAUAGUUUUUCAUGUUACAAACUAGUUUCAUCACUAUAAAUAGACAUAAAGACAAUAUAUAUAUAUAUAUAUAUAUAUUAUGAAGUUAAUAUUAAAUAUAUAUAGAAAUAUUAUAAAGUUUCGCUAGAAAUAGAAAUAGAUUCGAAAACUAUUUGUAUACUAUCGAAUCACAUGGACUGAGAGAGUUGAGACAAAGAAUAUAUUUAGACACAGAGAAUAUAUUUUAUACGAUAUGAUUUUUAGACUGUCCUUUUGGUUUGAAGAGAGGUGGGAAUGAUUGGACGAUCGGCUUCUCAUCUCCUCUUCUCUUCCACAGUGACUAACAAUUGAGAACACGAAAGUAAUUGGAGAGAUUGGAAUCUUUUCUCAUCAAACUCCCACUUACUAUGUUUAGUCACUUAAGUGGAACAAACAAUAAUAACUCAAAACUUAAAAUAAAUAUUCUUUACCCAAAACCUUUGUUUUUCAUUUGACCAAUUUACAUAAUCCUAAAAUUAGUAAUCGACAUUCCCUAUAUCCAAGUUGUUUUCCAAUAAGUAGAAAGUAUAUAUAUAGCAUGACAUUAGCUUCUAUCAAUUUAAUAUUUCUAAAACCGGUUAAAAAAAAGUAUUUAUUUAAAAGUUUUCACGUCUUAAGAUAGUAUUAAUCGUUAAAGGGUAGAAAUAUUUUUAAGACAUUUUUUUUAAAAGUACUUAUUUAAAUUGUGUUUUCAAAUAAUUUGAUUUUUAAAAAGGCGUUGUAUUUUUAUAAUAAAAAUAUAUAAAGUGACAAUUCAAUUGUCAUAGUGAAAUGGUAUAUAAAACUUCUAAAUUUGUAAUAGUGGGCUAACUUUAAUGGAUGUAAGGGAAUAAUUACUGUAACCUUAAGUAGUAAUAUGUACUCAGUAGAACAUCAUGGUGUUAACACUUAACACACACACACACAUAUAUAUAUAUAUAUAUAUAUAUAUAUAUAUAUAUAUAUAUAUAUAUUCACUUUUCAUUUGAUUAAACAGGUCAUGGAAUAUCUUUAUAAGAGUCUAAAGAUGUCCAAGAUUUAUAUUUUCCCGAUGAAAGGACAUGGAAAUAUAAAUUUUAAUGAUAGUAUCGAUUAUAUGAGAGUUGAUAUGUUAGUUUUUCAGAAAAUUCCAUACAGAAUAUAUAUGUUCUCAUUAAUUAGUCAUCUCCAAAUGGUAAAAUUAUUCCACAAUUUAAUUUGCCAUAGUUUCUAUCAAUCACGAAAUUUAACGGAAUCGCUACUAUUGUUAACUGUUUAGCCAUUAUGCAAUAUCAAUAUUAGUGCCCAAAAUUAUUUAUUUUCAGCUCAAGUUUCAUAAACUAUAUUCAGUUUUACUUGCCGAUUGCCAUAGAAACUAUGCUAUUUUUUUAUAAUGUAGUAUGAUAUUAUUGUUUUCUACGAUUUAAUUCUGUUGCCAAUCAUAAUCUACUUAUUUAUUAUUAGAUGUCUUUUUCUAUAGGUCCUAAUUUUGAACUUACGUUGCUUGAAUCACUAAUCACAAUGGUUUGAUGACAACCCCUCCUAAUUAAAUGUAAUGCAUCAUAAUUCACCUGAUAAAAACCUUUUUAUUACUACAUGAGAUCUUUAAAGAUCAGACGUACUAAUCUCGUUUGGAAAUAGUAUAUAUGUGCAUAAAUGGUAAUACAUUAAUAGUGUAUAAGAUGGUAAAAACAUAGAAACAAAUUAGGGUUUUGGUGAAACAAAGAUUUUAAGAUAUAUUCUUAAAGAUGGAAAGCUCAGCGUGGAGCCCAGAGCAGCUCAAGACCCCAAAACCCUUUCCCAAAUCUGAAGCAUAUUCCAUCGAAUGUGCCUUUUCAUUUUUCCCACUUGUAUUUUAUUUUAUCUUUGGGUUAAGAGCUUCGAACCAAAAAAACACAAAAGAAACUAGUAUUGUUUCUCCAAGUUUAUAAUAUUUUCUGUAAUUAGUAACUCUAACCGAAAGAACCAAAUUCUACAGUCGAAAAAUCAAUAUCAUAUGUUCAUUCAUCCAUAGGCUAUCCAGUUUUAUAAUUCUGUAAAUUCCAAAGAACAAGAUUUUCUCACUUCAUCAACUCUAUAAAAAUUUUGAAUUAUAUUUUUUUAUUAUCUUACGACCACAGAGUUCAAAUGGUAAAUUACAAAUGAUUUCUUCUUCAGUUAGAGGUUAAUAACAAAAGAUGCUUUAGUUAUUAAUUAUAUACAUACAGUAUAUCUCCAUAUAUAAUAAUAAUUAUCGCGUGGUUUUAGUUAUUUAAAUUUAUGUAACUUAUGUAUAUUGAUUGUUGGAAAGAUAGUAGUAUAGACAAUAUAUAUAGUACGAGACGUGGAUGACAAAAUGACUCAAAAAAAAAAAAAUAACUUUGAACCUUUUGCAGCAAAUUUUAUCGAUGAAAGAAAAGGAUAACUAACUGUUGGUUGUUCACAGUUCACACACUAAUAAAACCAUAACAUUAAUUAAAUCGUGAAAGUCUUAAGUAAGUGACACCUCUUAAUAACAUCUGUGCAGAACUUUAGAAAAGCGUUUUUGUAAUAUAAAUAAGUUUUGCUAAGUUUUAAACGUUUGUAAAGAGCGGUUGUAAUAAAAAGCUCACAAAGAGUUGAAGCAAUCGAUUCAAAAGUUGAAACUAAUUAACACAAUUGAAUUGCAAUCUUAUAUACAAUUGGACGAAAAAGUUGGUGGAGCCGGAACGGGAACAAUUAUAAUAUAUAUAGGGAGUAUUAUAUACAUGUAUCUUUUACUUGUAAAAUUGAAAUGUAAAAAGUUUUUAUGUGGUAUAUCAGUAGCAUGAAUGUGUAAUUGCUUCAACUUUAUUUAGAGUUAAUUCUAAUUUCUACAAAUACAAGUGCGGUUCAUAUGUAUGAUUUUUAUGAUCAUGUGAAUUAUCUCGCGAUUUACCCAUAAAAACCGAUUGUUACAAGAAAACAUGGUAAGUGGUUUAAGUAGUUUGCCACUACCACUAAAUCCAACAAUUAUUCUUCUUUAACCAAUUCCAAUUUUAUAUAUAUAUAUAUAAUGUGUUGUUUUUUUUUUUUGGGGUUUUUAGGAUUUAAAAAAUAUAUAUAUAUAAACUAGAAUACAAACAUUUUUUUAGAUCACUAGAAAAAAUGUAGAAAUUUAAUUGAAACGUUUUUUGAAACACAACAGUUCUGAUCUUAAGAGAAUUUGUUUACGAUUGGGAUUAGAACUAGCCUGAUUUUGAACUUUUCUUAAAAUAGUUUAAAUAUACAAGCAUGAUUUGGUCCUAAUACAACUUAUCUAGAUAAGCCUGUGAAAUAUUCAGCAAAACAAACUUAUACUAUCUUGACCCACAAUACUAUUCAGAAAAAUAGAGAAACAUAUACAUAUAUCAACCUCAUUAAUAAUUAAAAGCGCCUAUUUAGAUCUUAGAAAAAAAUAUUUAAACAAGAAAUUGUAGUAUCGUAUUUUGCAUUAGUUUCGGGAUUGUGUUAUAGUUUGGAAUCAAAUUUUUAUAUUGCAUGUUAUUAUUGACAGAAAAAAAAUAUCUAUUUUGAUUGAUAAAUACCUAGAAAAAAAAACAUUUUUGAUUUGUUGUAUUGUUUUUAAAAUAUAAUAUACGUGGAAUUGUUUACAUAUACCACCAUAAUUAAAAGUUUUAACCUACUAUCGGUUCAUAUUUCAUAUAAUGAACAUGGUCUAAUAUACAAAGUACUUUGCAAUAAAAUAAAAUAAAAUAAAAUACCUUCUAUAGUAAUUUGUUUUCCGUCACCCAAUUGAAUAUUGUGUUUGGGUUGAAAACGAUUUGUGGUUUUCCCAAUUAGCUUAAAUUUCUAUUUUUGUAUUUUUAUACGUCGAUCCACCACCACCAUAGCUUUCCUUCAAUUUAAUAAAGUCGUAUUUUCACUUUCACUAGGAGAUUUUUUUUUAAACAUCCUUUUCCAAAAAAAAUACGAAUUUAAAUUAAUUAAUUGUUGCGUUAUUAUUUUAGAAAAAACAAUUUGAUCGAAAACGCAAGUCUCGUUCAUCUCCUCCAAAUGUUCUUUUUCUUUUUAUUUUCUAUCCAUUUCUCUCUAAAAGUCCAACAGCGACAACAUAAGUUUUCUCUCUCUCUACAAUGGCGUGUCUAUAUAAAGCAAGGUCGUCGAUUCAUAACGACUACCUCCAUUACUUGUCCAUAACCUUACAAGAAACCUAAAACAAGAUAAGAUCUUCAGAUUCAACACUCCAAGAAGCCUCCCAAUCGAACUCGUUUUAGAUUCUUUAACUUAGCUCGAGAGAGAGAGGAUGAAACUGAUUGAGAAGACGAUGAACAAGACCAAGUUUAUGACUAUGGAAGAAGAGGAGGAAGACAGAGGUCAGGGUUUCCAGAAGAUCGAGGUAGCUAUGGUUGACCGGAGAAGCCUAUCUCCGCCGCCAGCUGCUGGUGCUACUGCUGCUACUGCACCAUUGCUUGAGGUUUCCGGCGACCUGAUUCCACCGUUGAACUUUGCUAUGGUCGAUAACGGUAUCUUCCGGUCUGGAUUCCCGGACACAGCCAACUUCUCCUUCAUCAAGACUCUUGGCCUUCGCUCAAUCAUGUAAGCUUCCAAGAAUCUUGAUCAAAAUUGACUCUUGUAAUGAAAACGUUGGAGUUUGUUGAGUUUAGGUUUUUGUGUGUUUUGGUUUUGUUCAUAUGGGAAAUGUGUGAAGAUCUUUGUGUCCAGAGCCGUAUCCUGAGAACAACAUGCAGUUCCUCAAAUCCAAUGGGAUUAGUCUUUUCCAGUUUGGCAUUGACGGCUCCAAGUCCAAGGUGUGUCUCUUUUUUAAUUUGCACUCUCUCUGUUCAUAAAUGUCCAUUUCUAGCUAAUUGCUUCGCCACUGCCUUUGUUCUACAUUUCUUUAAACCUGAAUUCAAAAAAAGGGGAUUCUCAAAAUUGAAAAUUUCUUAUCACUUUGGAUAUCUUGAAUUUGCAGUGUCUGCCUGGACUAGAGAACGAGGUUUGGUUGCAUAUUUGGGGUUCUAAGCAUCACAAAGAAGGUUCCUAUACAAAUGGAAAUUCGAAAACUUCGGUAUUGAUCUGAAUACUAUCUAGACUUCUAGUCACACAUUUUGACUUGCUUAAUGUUGCCUAAUUGUUCUUUGAGCAUGCAUGUCUCUCUAGGUUUCAUGUUUCCUUAGGAGUAGUAAUUUGCUUAGGUACUAUGUUGUGAUUUAGACAACAAGAAUGGCAUUUCAUGUAUGGAUUUUUCUUUGUCUUGGACUCUUGGACUUAACCAUUCAAGAGACUAUUCUAAUCCAUAUUAUUAUUAUAUAAGAGACCGCCCAAGAAAAAGUGUUCACCAUUCUUUAAUGCUUUAUUGAAGGAUGCUUUUCUUGGCUCUGUCCGUUACCAUUGACUCCAUAGGUCCCACUGUUUGUUUGCUUGCCCUUGCCCUUGCCCUUCAUCAACUAAUACCACUUGGUCCUUUAUAUAAAAUUUAGAUAAUGGGCUGCGUCGAAGAAAAAUACUUAGCUACCUUGCAUACAAGUGUUGUCAGAGAUCCACUACUCGAAAGUUUUUACUUUCCUUUGUGUUUCUGUUGAUACUGUUUUCUUGGUUCAUAUUUGUUGCGUGUGCACUUUAAUGCCUGAAUGAUAUCUUAUGUAAUCUUAAAUUAAAAAUAGCUAAAAGAAAAGUGUUUCUUAGUGGUUGUACAAGUUGUAGUUGAAGUAGAAAAUGUACCUCAGCUUUUUUUUGGGUUUUGGUGGUGAAAACUUUGUGGAUAGUGUGACUUGUCGACAAUGUGUUAAUGGUAAAAGUAUCCACAUAUCAACCGGUAGGUAUAGUACCUUAAUCAAGCUGGGAUUAACAGUGAAAGUGAUAGAUGGUUAAGUUAUAUGGCAGUUACUGUUGUUUCAUAUACCUAACUAUAUGUUGUUGUUGCUUUAGUAUGUUUUAGUGGCUCAUAUGUUUGGGUAAAAUGACUUUUCAUUUAAGGAACUGUUGGUAUAAGCUAAGGGAGGGAAUAACAAAACCUGAUCGUAAACUUUUGAUAUUUCAAAUGCAGCCAUAAGAGAAGCCAACCAAACAUGUUACUUUAGUUUUUCUUUUCUUUUCUUUUAUGAAUAAGAACAUGUUACUUUAGUUGAACAAUAUAUUAGAUUGUGGAAGAUCAGUUUGUACAACUUGUGAUGGGGCGGCUAGUUUGAUAUUUAUCUAGAUUGCUUUAUUAUACUAGAAAGAGAAGUCUGAAAGGUAAAUAUAAUUGUGCUAUUGUGGUAUUGAUCGUUCUUUUUCCCACAAAUUCACCCUUGUGUUGUCAAUUCUGUUCUUACAAAUAUAUGAUAGUUUUUUCCAACUUUUUUGCUUUUUAGAUUUUUAGACUAAACAUGGUAAAGUGGCUUUUACAUAUCUUCUUCUUAGAAUGAUUUGACUAGAAAUGUAAUGAAUAUUCCACACUCAUAUUUUGUUUGUUGUGUCUCUCUAGUUUAAGAUCUGCUUAUUGGCUUAAGAUUCUUUAUGUUUGGUGUGACAACUCUCUAGUCUUCAUAGGAAAUCAUUUUCGUUUUCAUUAUUGCCUGCUUUUGAUGGCCCUCUUUGAUAUUGUGUAUAUUUUUUGCUGUGUGCCUAACUUUUAAUAAUAGGAAGAUAGAAUAUACUCCACAGCUCUUUUACAGUCUCUAAGAAAUAGCCAAAACUAAUCUAGUUUUCUUUUUGUUUUCUUAAUAUUAAUUUCGGUUUCUAAAGAAUGAUUAUAGACGACAGAUUAAACAUGUCUCUUCGUAAUUUCUAUACAUUUUUUUCCGGGUUUGUGUGUGACUAAAGACUUGCUAAGGAACUAAUAGUGUAACCCUCAUUUUUGCAGGAGCCAUUUGUAGAUAUCCUAGAUCAUAAAAUCCGUGAAGCACUCAAAGUCCUUCUAGGUAUAAAUCAUAGAAGCCCUAAAAGGAACAUAAAGAUAUAUACUGUAUCUUCUAAUUUCUCUCUUGUUUUUAACCCUCAGAUGAGAAGAACCAUCCACUUUUGAUUCAUUGCAAACGAGGCAAGGUAUGUAAAAAAGCUGAAUCUGACUGUUUUAGUCGAUGAGUUUUCAUUUCUUUGUUUUGACACACAAGGCAUAUAUAUGGCCCAUGAUCAUAUUGCAGCACAGAACCGGGUGUCUAGUUGGAUGCAUGAGGAAACUCCAGAAAUGGUGCUUGACAUCGAUAUUCGACGAGUACCAGCGAUUUGCAGCGGCUAAAGCUAGAGUUUCGGAUCAAAGGUUCAUGGAGUUAUUCGACGUCUCAAACUUGAAGCACAUACCAAUGUCUUUCUCUUGCACCAAUAGGUAAAAUGAAAAAAAAACGUCAAGGUUAUUUGAUCAAUCGGUCAGUCCUUUUUUUACAUAGUUGAAUAACAAAAGGAGAGGAGAGAAACCAUGAGUUAACCAAAGGAAUCAUCAUCAUAUUCUUCUGGUUUUUGUUUUCUUUUCUUUUUCUCCUGAAUUAUUAAAGAAAUAUAUAACAACAAUAAUUGGAAGAAGAAGAAGAAGAAGAAUAUAUUCCUUUUCUUUUGUAAGCUAAUAAUGUAAUAGAUAUAUCUAUAUGUAAUCAUUUAGCUAGAUAAAAAAAUUCAUAUAGACAUUUAUAUUUAUAUACAUAGAAAUGUUCACUAUAUAUAUUCUGAACUCUGAAGAAAGUCCAAAAGCCCCAACCAUGCCAUUUGUAAUCAUGUGCUCAUCUUUCUUCAUCCUCUGUUGCAAACCACCGAAUCUUUGUUUUUGAAAGUGAUACUUAUUCAUCAUCGUUUCUUUUUGGGUCACAGCCAAACUUCAUUCAAAAGUUAAAAAAAAUACAUUAUUUGUAUCAUCUAAUCUAAUUGUAUAUAUAAGUUAGUUUUAGAGAGGAACUAAUUAACAAGUAACAAUAAUUCAAAACAAAAACUAACGUGUCCGAACGAGAUCAUAGACAAAACAACAGUUAGGUUUUUUUUAUUCAUCAUCAGAAUCAUCCUUAUCAUGAUGAUAACACGAAGGCGAAGCUAUCACUUGACUUAACUGAAUCUUAAGACUAACUGGUUCUGUAACGCGAUGACACAUACAUUAUACGACCAAACCUCUCAUUGGUGAGUCACAUCCGAGUUAAUCCGAGUCCACUCAUUCUGUUCACCGUUUCCCACAGGCCAUUAAGGUUAACGUGAGUCAGGAUAAUAUUUUUAACUUUUACAGAAAAUUAACAAAACAAAAAUCAAAUCAAAUCAACCGCGAAAGUAAAUAAAAAAUAAAAUAAUAUGAGAAUGCCAAACAUGAGAUCAUCCACUAAUAAAGGAAAAUAAAAUUUAUUUUUUAGAUAACUCGAGCCUGUUAUCUAUCUUUUUUUUUUUAAUUAUAUUUCAUUUAAAAAAAAAUUAGGUUGUUUUUUUUAAUAACUUUGUUCAUCUUUUCCAAAGACUAUUAGAUUUUUUUGGAGUAUUAAGGUAGGACAAUAAUAUAUAUAGAGAAAGAAACCUAUCGAAUGUUGGUAAAAAGAAGAGAAGAAAACUCAAUGGAAGUAGGAAACUCGAACUUGAAUUCAAAUGUUCUUGAAGAAUUGUUCCUUAGGCUUCCCCUGAAAUCUCUCGGCAGAUUCAAAAGCGUGUCGAAAGAAUGGAAGUCCAUACUGGAAUCAAAGUGGUUCGUGGAGAGACAUCUCAGUCUUGCAAAGUCUCGCCCUAAUAUCCUUCUGGCCUACCACUGCGACUGCGGCGUCUCCACGAGUAUCCUCAACGGGCUGCAGCACUUCCUAUGGAGCCUAGAGUUUGUCUAUUUGCACUGUGACGCGACACGACCGUCGAUGAGUUACGACGGUUUGGUUUGUUUUCCCAAAGCAGAGUUGGUCGACGUGGUGAACCCCUCCACGGGUCAACUCCGGCGAUUCCAUUGCCCCUCCCUCUUGAAUCCCUGUCCCAACUCCGCUAAGUUUCACGAAGGUAUGCCAUAUCUAGUUUUACUUGUGAGUCAAUUUUUUUUUUUGGUAGGAUCAUAUUUAUAUAUAUUAUAUGGUUGGUCUAAUCUCUAAAGCUAUGAAUUCAAAUUUUUCAGAAUCAUGGACGACUUAUUUUCCGGGAUAUUGUGCGAUGGGAUUUGGUAGAGACAGCGUUAAGGGUUGCUAUAAAGUAGUUAGGAUCUUCCGUAAUCCUAACUAUUGCGAUAUCCUUGAUGUCAACACUGGUGAAUGGCGGAAGCUUUGGAAACCAAGUCGUUACAAGGUUGAUGUCGGAAGAAAAUCUACGUGUGUCGACGGAUCAAUCUACUGGUUACGAAUUCAUGUCAGCGGUUCUAUCUACACGAUACUAGCCUUGGAUCUUCACUUAGAAGAGUUUCGUGCGGUCCCUCGUCCACCUCUUCCCAAGGGCAUCGUGUUUGAAGCACAAAUUGUCAACAUUAACGAUCGUCUUGCCAUAGCCAUGCCCGUUUCCCAUCCUCUUCACCAAUACGAGCUAGAGAUAUGGAGUAUGGAUUCACAUAAAGAAACAUGGAGCAAGACUCACUCCAUUAGUUUAGCUUCUCUUGGUAUGGUGGAGUACUCCAGGUCCUUCACACCCGUGAUCCUCUCUAAUCAAGGGGAUGUUGUAUUUUCUGACAAUAACAACUACUUGUUCAAAUAUAUUUCAGAGACAGACACGCUCCAUAGCCUCCCUGAUGACAUUUGUGUUAUAUCUCCUUACGUUGAGAACUUUAUCCCACUUCCGGCUCAGCAAGUCGAGUUAAGGACUGGAAUCACUUGCCUCCACCCCGAAACAAUAAUAUUGAUUUACUCCGUUUGUUUUAUAAAGAAAUUUAUCUUUGUGAAAUCAUACCUUGCCAAAAUUUUGCGCCAAUGUAACAUACUUUAAUGUGUGUUUUUACACUAAACUUUCUAAUUUACGCUUAAUCCAAAACAACUUUUAUUAAAUUUAAUUCAUUUAUCAUUUUAGAUAUGAGAAUUUAACUAAUGAGAAAUUCUCUAAAAUACCAUAUUUUAAGUUUAUUUUCCAAAAAUAGAUAAAAUUUUAUUUUUCUCAAAAUACCAUAAACAUAAAAAUUGAUUUUUAAAGGUGUAAAAUAUUUUUGAAACUUGGGUUUACUAUUCAAUAUUUAGGGUAUAGCUUUUAAGGGUGGGAUAAGUGUUUAGGAUUUAGGAUUUACUUUUGAAUGUUAAAAAUGAAAUUUAAAGUUUUGUGAUAUUUUAGAUAAAAUAUUUUAGUGGUAUUUUUAUAAAUAAAACUAAUAAUAGUAUUAUUGAAAAUAAAAAUCAUAUAGUGGUAUUUAUGAAAUUCUCCCUUGAUUCAUUUAUUACAUGUCAAAAUAUUGACACAUGUAUAAUUUAAAAUUUUCUUAAUUUGUGUGAACUCUUCCAAAUACAUAUAUAAAAUCGAAACAGUUGCAUGUUCUACAGUUUGAUUAAGCUCUAGUCUUCAUGCUCUCUUUUCUUUUUUUGUUAUCGUUUAUACAUCCAAAACUUACCAAUUCUGAGGAGGACGUCACUAGGAUAUUUGCAAGAAGCGUGAGUGUGUGUGAGUGUGACUCCUUUCCUAUAUACAACAUGAUUUGCCAGAUUUGGGACAAUGCUUCUUGGCGUCUGCCAGACUGCGACACAAAACCUAUCUAUAUACAUACUCUAAGAACCUAUCACAUCCGGUAAAAGGAGAGAACAAAAAAUGAAAAGAAUUGAGAAUUUGGUUUUGAGUUCUAUGCAAGGUGCAAUUUCCUUCUAGUUCCGUCUCCCUGCAAAUUGCAAAACAUGAUCAUAACCGAUGUGAGAAACGCAGAUAUGCCAAGUAUGAGAAGAAUAUUGAUGACUUUAGUAAAAACUUACUGUACGUUGAUUGCUCUUAGCAGAUUUGCCAUGUCUUGAGUCUAGAGAUUCUGGUCUCGUGGUUCGUCCAUGUAGUCUCUCCAUAAAGUCUUGUAUGUGAUUAUAUGUACUGCAAAGAAAACCAGAUCACAAAAAUAUGUCAGAACUACUUAUAUAAAAAAGUGUAAACGUGUGUGAGAGAAAUAGAUGUCAGAAAUGGUCAUAGCGCAAUGUGUAUAUGUGUGCGCUAUCAAUGCUUUACCUAAGCCGAUGUCUGUUACAGGCAGCAAAGAAGGCCACAAAACCGUUCAGUAUACUCCUGACAGCACGAAAAACCUGAAAAAAUGAAGCAAAACACAUUUAGUAACAAUCGAAGUAGCAAAAGAUUUAGAUACUUUUGAUUGUCUUCAAACUUUUUACUGACAUGAGAAAAGAGGUCGUUCCAAAGCGUACGCCACAUGGAGACUUCAUAAGUCUUCACAGCUGCUUGAGAAUCUGAUGCAACCUGAAGUACGCUGCUCAUAUACCUCCAUAAAUCUCCAAGAACAUCGAAUAUGUAUGAGAAGGAUAAAGAUAAACCACUGGCCAAGGCAGCAACCACUCUGAUCGGUGCAUAUACCACUUCCCAUAUGAUCCAGAAUAGAGGGAGUAAAACAGUAUUUGCUGUAGAAUCGAAAACAAAAAAGAGAUCAGGAUUAUGAUUAUAUUCUUAAAAAUAUAAGAAUAAUAAUGCUCAAGCAGACGGUUAAUAUACUUACUGACGUUCCAAACUAGUGAGCCAAUAAACCAAAUGGGCAAAAACACCAAUUCUACCACAUCACCAACAAGAUUCCAGCCAGACUCGAUCACUAUCCAAACUACUGAAACCAAGCUCGCCACUGUUUCUGCCAAUGAAUUCCACAAAGGUAGGAGUAGACCGAGAGUAUCUAUGAUAGGAUUUACCAGAGGCAUUAUGAGUAAAGAAACAAAUGGCUGAAUAGCACGUGCCAUGGUUAAAGCCCACUUGACAGCUUUCUGAAAAUUGUGAAGAAACAACAUCGUUCCCAAGUACUUUAUCCGUGAUACCAUGUCCCAAGUUUCAACCCAAUCAAAGAGUGGACCGCAUAACCGAGAUGCAGUGGCCUUCAGAACAGGGACAUUUUUGUACAGGUCAUAAAAACCAAUCACAACGGUGACGACUGAUAUCAUCACAUAUAAUGCUCUCGCAAAAAGGCACAUCCAGGGUCGGUAAAGAUGACAGAAACCAGGAUAAGACUGCAGAAACAAGACCCAUGAAGGGAGACCAGCUUCUAGUAAAGUCAGCAAGCGUAUGUCAGCCAUUAUAACCUCUCGCAAUUUGAAAGGGAGAUCACGGUCACCACACCUAACAAGAACUAGAAGAUCCUUAUAUUGGGUUGCUUCAAUGAUGUUCUCACCAUCAGGUACAUGGCUUUCCCAAUGGUCCACAGAGUUAUCUUUUCUUUUUGGUGUCUCCUCCAUAUAGUCAAUUUCAACUCCGGUACUGAUUGCCUUAGUUACUCUUCUUCUCUUGUACGGUCCAGUCAGAGGCGGUGUGUGAGGCUCGUUUUCAUCAUAAUCUGCAGCAGAAUGAUUAACGUUGAAGACACUUCUGGAGCAGCAAGGAGAGUCAUAUUCACCAGAAAGAUUGUCGCUGCUGAGGUUGUCAUCAUCAUCAACAGGAGAAGUUUUCGAGAAUUCUGCUUCAGCGUCAUAAAAAACCUCUCCUGCAAGAGUUACAAUACUAUAAGCUUAUUUAACCCAGGGAGCCAUAAAGGUGAAAGGUUAAAAGCAUGUCAGAUAUAUCACCAAUUAAAGCAAAGUUGCUGAUGAAAAAGAAUUUCAAAACUAAAUCAGAGCAAAUUAUCAUACCUAUAGUUGAGUCGAGAUAUUCCCUCAAGCAAGACUUUUCAGCUUUUGAUCCAGAGAACCACUGAGACAUGCUUUUUACAGCUUGAUCGAUACUCUCAAACUCCCACCUUCGCAUCAACUUAGCUUCUAUAGCAAGAGACGUGUCUGUCUACAUAAAGAAAUAUAGAUCAAGUAAGAAACAAGAAAAAAUAUAAACUGGGAGAGCAAAACAAUGGACAGUUGCAAGGGGUACCAGUAGUUCAUUCAAGUAAUUGAUACCCCUGACAUUGGCCCAUUCAACUUCAAACACGAUGAAACCGUACAAGGUCUUGUGUAGCUGCUUUUUUAGAAACAAAGCGCUCUGCAGUUUCUUAGCAGGUAUUUUCUUCUUCGAAAAAGUUGUGGCAUCUAUCAAUGAGAACCACUUCUUAAGCUUCUUCAUCUUUCUAUCGUUAGGCUGGGGCUGAGAACACGUCUCUUUAGGCUUAUGCUCCUCCUUCUGCUUUGGAUUUUCCAUCUUCUCCUCCUCCUGCCUCUGAUUUUUCUUCUCCCCUCGACCUUUCGUGUUUGCAAAAGGGGAAAGUCUGGACUGCAAACAAAGAUAGAUGGGUCAGUUCAUCAUAAAUUUUCACCUGGACAACACAAACAAGAAAUAAAGUUGAAGCAGCUGUUACAACCUUUGUAACCAUAAGUUGCCAGAAAUGAGCAGAUCUGGUGCCAGGAUUCAACCAUGGCCGGUUGUCCACCAAUAUGUAAAUCUUUUUACUUUUGUUGCCCAGAAAAAUACUGAGAUCAGAAAGAUAUGACUGCAAGUCUCUGAAACAAACGAAAAGUAAAACAAAGCUUAACCAGACAAGCAAAGAACAACAUCAGGCAAAUAAAAUGUGACAAUGUAGUAAACUUUUUUGAUGCAAACACGCAAACUAAUAAUCCUAUUGCUGGAAUUUUGCAAGAACACAUGCUUGAGCUAUACUUAAAUUUCACAGGGAAUAUUAAAAGUGAUUAACAACAAGAACAGAUACUACUUCAGAUUCAGGAAAAGAACCUAAGCCCUGCAUCGAAAUUCUACAGGCAUUGGAUUCAGCUUACAUACAAAAUAAGGAAAGGAACCAACAAAAAGAAAAGAAAAAAAGCCAAACUCUAAAAAGAAACUGUCAAAAACCAAAACAGAUGUUGUUUUGUCUGAAAGUAGAAGAUAUAAAUUUCCUAGAAAGGUCCAACAAUGGCUGAGAGCAAGGCUUAUAUAAUAAUGGAAAAGCAAACACAAAACAGGAAACUACUUUCUUGUACUUGUAAACAUAUAAUUUUCAUAGACAUAAAAGUUACAGAAUCAUUGAUCUCUGAAUAUACUAAGAAAACAAUUGCCAUCAAAGAGAAGCGGGAGAGAGAUAACAUGUACCCGAUCUGGAGACUCGACAAGUGGAAAACACAUUUUGUUUCAUGCCCCAUCUAUUAUCUCCCAAUUUUCCAAUUAAACGUCAAAUUGACCUCAAAUUCCCUGAAAAUCACUGGAAAAUAACAAAACAGAGUUCAGUAAGAAUUCGUCAUUACCAUGAUUGAGAGAAUUAUCCAUAGAUAUUACAAGAGAAAGUGGUGAAAGAUUCUAGAGAUAAAAUGGUGGAUGUGAUUGUAAAGAAAACAUAAAUAUGGGGAGGAUUUAGUCAAAAUUGAGAUUACUUAAUAAAAAAGGAAACUCUAGAAUCUCUAGGUAUAAAGGAAGCUCGUUAAAUCGAAUGAAUACCGAACGCCGGCGAACAGAAACAGCAAUGGCCGGAGAAAAUUGAACCACACACAAACAACGGAUCAGAUCAAAAUCAAAACCACAAUUAAUGUCCGAAACAACAACCGCGAACAUAAAAAAAAAAAACAGAGCCGAUGGUUUAUCACCAGAGAAACCAAGAAUUUGAAAUUUGAGAGAGAGAGAGAGAGAGAGAGAGAGAGAGAGAGAGAGAAAUUGGGUUUACUUGGAAUGGAAGAAGAAGAAUAUUUCCAAAAAAAGACGUCUCAGGGUGACAGCAAAGGGGGUAAAACGGUAAAUUUAAUAGCCAAGGAUGACGGGGGAGGGUAAGGGCUGUGUUUGUGUCGUUAUGGCGCCCAGUGCCAGUGCCAGGGGGGGUUCUCGUCGGGUUGUAUCUUCACCGGAGCACGUCGAAGAAGAGAGAGAGAGAGAGACGAUUAAGAAGAGAGAAGAGAGCUUACGGGAAGAUAUAUAAACAUACGCGUGGGAUAAGAGAGGUCCUUUCUAUAGGCAAGCGCGUGUAUUUCCUAUUUUUUAUAUAUUUUCUCAUAUUUGCUUUAAGGUCCUUCAAGAUUUGAUUUAUUCUGAAUUAUAAUCCCGCAUAAGAAGAAAAGGAAUCUUUUAAUUAAAUGAGCAAUAAAUGAGAUUUCGGUAAUGAAUUUAAAUAAGGGAAAAUUGGAAAUAAGAGACAUUUUUUAAAAACUUUGUCCAUAUAUACCUUUUUUAAAAAAGUUUGGUGAAUUAAGAUUUUUUGAAAAAUUAAACUCCAUUUAUACCCUCAAUUAUAAUUAAGUAACUAUUGUUAAAUGAUACAUAUAAUACAUAAAAAGAUACAUAUAAUACAUAAGCCUCGUCCAGAUCAUCUCUUAAUACAUAAAAUACAAUAAUACAUAUACAAAAAUAUUUUAAGACAAUGCAAAUACAUAAGCCUCGUUUGAUCAGAUCUGGUAAGAAAAAUAGUUACUUUUUGUAUAUGUAUUUUAUAUGAAUAAAAUACAAUAAUACAUAUAAUACAUAAAAAGAAAAAUCAGAAAAAGAAAAAAAAAUCAGAAAAAAAAAGAGUCUCCUUAAGCCUCCGCCGCUUCUUCUCCUUGAAGCCUCCGCCGCUUCUUCUCCUUGGUUUCUCAAGAUGUACUGUAUUGCAAAGUAACUAAUCUCGCACGUUUUACUUCAACAUCAAUAAAUACCCACUGCUUAGUAGCAUCUAAUCUCCAUAAACCACAAGUAACAUAGAUUUGCAUCAUAAUUAAAAGAAAAAACUCAACAACUUUAAGAGAAUGGAGAAAAGAAAGAAGAAGAAGUCGUGACUAUAGUUUUAGGAACAUAAUUUAGGGUUACAAUCGUUUUUUUUUAUAAAAAAUACUUCUAAAAUUUUCAGAUUACGUAUUCUGAAAAAAUCUGUAGAGAAUCUGAAUCAUAUAUUCGAUUCUAACUGAAUUAUUUACUUUCCUAAUUAUCCGAUUUUGUUUCCAUAUUUAUAUAACCGAAUAUUUUUUAGAAUACAUAUUCAAAAAUAUUUUAGGAUUUAUAUUCUACACUUUUCAGAACAUGUAGUAAAUUGUAGGAUACAUAUUCUGAAUUUUGCAGAACAUAGAAUAUUUUUAGAAUUUGUAUUCUGAAUUCCAAAAAUUCGUAUUCUGAAACUUUUGGAACAUGUUUUCUGUUCUAAAAUUCGUAGAACAUGUACAAAAUAGUAGAAUGGAUAAUCUAAAUGUUUCAGAACAUAAGAAUACGUAUUCUGAAAUAAGAAAACGUUUUCUAAACUUUUCAGAACAAAAAUCAUCUACAGUAAAACCUCUAUAAAUUAAUAAUGUUGGGACCAUGAAAAUCUAUUAAUUUAUAGAGGUAUUAAUUUAUCGAUAAAUAGAGAGAUAUUUCUAAUUUGGAAAAUAUUUUCAAACAAUAUUUAAAAAUAAGAUUUAAUCAUGAUAAUUAGUAUUUUAUAUAUUCAAUUACAAAUAAAAUAAUAAUAAUUAUGUAUUAAAAUAGAAUGCUAACUAUUUUUCAUAUAGUAAAAUAUUAGAAAUAAAAUCUAACAAAAACUAAUGUGUUUAUAUAUACAUAUAUUUUGAAAAUUUUACCUAAUUAUUAAUUUAUAAUUUUGAUGGGACCAUAUAUUUACAAAGGAUUUUCAAAAAAAUUAUUAUCUUAUUAUUUUAUCGAAAUAUGUCUAAAAUUACACUGGUCCCAACUUGGGACCGGAUAAAUUUAUUAAUUUAUAGAAGUUAUUAAUUUAUCGAGUAUUAAUUUAUAGAGGUUUUACUGUAUGUGAAAUUCAAUUAUUUUUCAAAAAAGUUGAAAAGCCUUUUCUUCAAAUAUAAUGUAUAAUGACUUAUUUACAUUAUUUGAUAAUUUUCAACUUUAAAAAUCCCUUAAAAUUUGAUUUAUAUGUUAGUAGGGGUAGUUCAGUCAAGAUUGACAAUUUCAAAAAAAAGGUAUAUAUGGACAAACUUUUGAAAAUAUGUCUAUUUUUUCCAAUUUUCCCUUUUUUUUUUUUUUGUCAUAAAUAAAAAAGGGAUGCAACACGAGGACUUCCCGGGAGGUCACCCAUCCUAGUACUACACUCGCCCAAUUUUUCCAAUUUUCCCUUAAAAUAAAUGAAUUUGCAUGGUGUAAGUAUAGUAUUAUUGAAAAAGUAGAUAAAUGGAUAAUAAUAUAUAAUGAAUCUUUUUAGUUGUUGUACUUAGAAUAUUACUUGAGGGGUACAUUCGGAUCCUAUUGUACUUGUCAUUGUCAUUAAUGAGAACUCUUUCGGAGAUAUUUACCAAAUGUCAUUUACGGAAAAUAAAUCAAGUAAUAAUGAAAUAAAUUGUUGGCAACAAAAUAAAAUUUUAUAAAAAAAAGUUAAAGCAAGAAAAAUCAAAACUUUCUUUAAAGACACGAAAUAUGGAUAGGGUGUCGAGUGGGAGGGAUUGACGCAUGGAGAUGAUGAAAUGACCAACAUUGAAGUUUAUGUGUAGUAAUAGUUGCUUUGAAAAGUGUAUCAUCAUCCGGCAUUUAAUCUGCGAGAAACACGAAUAUUCAUGUCGGCAUACACACAUUAAAUUGCUUCUAUAUGUAUUUUUUCAUUAAAAUUUAAUAAAUUGUAUUCUUGAAAAUUGAAGAAAAUAAAAAUUUAUCUCAUUUUUUGGGAAAGAAAGUAAUAUAAAUUGAAGGUGAAAUUUGGUUUUGAUAAAUUGGACGAAUACAUUGAACUAUUUGUUCACCAUAUUAAAAAAACUAAAUAACAUUUUUACCUAUUAAGUGGACUAUUGUUUAUAAUUGGGAUAUGCCAUGAAAGGAGUAUGAAAAACAAAAAAAAACGCAAUUGAAUGAAACAGAAAAUUGUGUUUCUAGAUUUUCGUAAUAUCCAAAACAUUAAUACUGUCAUGGUAUCAUUUGCAUAUUUUGCAUACUUUAUUUGCCCACUAUAAAAUGUUAUAUUAUUAUUGUUUUGUAGUCACAACACACUAUUCGGACCAUCAACCAAACAUAGCCGCUAAACCGAAUAUACACAUAUAACUGUGACUACUACUAAUCAGAGGUUGGUCUGAAACUUUGGGGGUAAUUACGGAAGUGUUGUUUUGAAAAAAAGGACACGCGCUUGCAGUGCGUGAGGAGGAUAUGGAGUAUGGGGAAAGAAGACCCAAUCAAAAUUUGGACGUAUAUGAUCUAUUAUUAUGUAUAUUUCGAACACAAAGAGCUCGUGGUAGGUCCUCUUUAACGCCGCUUUUAUCAAUUUUAUCUACUGGCUGGAACUAAAACUACUAGAGAAGCUCCUCUCCUCCUACGUAAUAAUAAUAAUUGAGAAGAAACCAACUCAACGCAAGUGAUGUCUCUCUAUUAUUAAUUAUCUAUAUGAUGAUGCAUUAUUGCGGAUUCACGUUACAUAUGCAUUCUACGUAUAUCAAAACAACAACUAAUGUGUGUGUUUUGAGAACGAUCACCAAAGAUUCAACUAGUUCUUUCAUUUCUAUAAUGAUAGUUUUCCAUCAUACACAACUUCGAAUACUUUAUUAGCCUUCUCAUAUGCAUAUUAAUUUUUUGUAUGUAGGCAAAUAAAAAUUCUUUUUUAAGUUUUGCUAAAUUCACGAUCAACUUCUAAUUAAGACCAGACCGCGCUAGAUUACACUAGCUAGGUUGCUAAAAAUAUUCUUAGGUGCGGGACUCAAUUAAAGUUGUCUUAAAUUCAUGGUCUACACUCUUUAACAUCAUUUAGACCAUACGAGUUUAUAAGUGGAGUGCAUUGUGCUUUCGAAUUUAAAUUUAUUUAUAGACCUAUCAAGCCAUCCUAUAUUAGAUUAUCUAGCAUUCUCGACUAAAGCAAUCCCGACGUCUAAUGAAAAAUUUAAUUUUAUCAUAGCCAUAUAGCUCAUGUCACAUUUCAUAGUUCACACACCCCUCUCAUUUCAUGAAAUUCACUUAGUUCAUACUUCAAUCAGAUGAAAAUUAACACGUGCAAUUCUUAGAUACAACUAAACGAAGACACUGUCGAUAACAUUGAACUUCUUAUCUAAAUAGGAAAAUGUUAAAACCCACAGGCCACAGCACUUACUCAUAAUAUAUAUACUUGGAAACCCAAGGUUGAAAUGAUAUACACUGUUAAGUUUCACUCAAAGAUUUAGAUUCAAAUCCACUAAGGACACUAAUGCUGAUAAAAACAAAACACAAAUCGAGAUAUCAAAAACCUCAAUUAAAGACUGGACAAGUGCAAACUCUUUAAACGCUACUCUUUUUUACAGAAGGAGGCCAAGAUAGUCUACGGUUUGAAUUGUUAUUACCAUCCUCAUCUUCUUCUUCUGCUUCAUCUUGAUCAUUGUUUUGUCUCCUUGUUGUCUGAACUGCUAAGUCGUCGAAGCUUGACUCUAUUCUCCCUUGAGGUGGAGUCACACAAUCUGAGUCCCUAUGCGUCAUUUCGUUACCUCCCCCUGGUGUUGUUGGUAAUGAAACUGCAGAGUUACCUACUCGAAGGUCUUGAAGAGUCGCAAAUGAUUCUCUCAUCGCAGACAUGGCCUCAAAAAAUCUCGUGCAUGACGCUAGUGCCACGGGUAUUGGACGCAACAUUUCCUAUGAAUUUGAGGGGGAAUGAAAAGUAGCGAUAUUGAGAUUAUAGCAUUUAAAACCAAAAAAAUCAACUGUUAUUGUGCAACAUAUUCCAUAAAGUGGCAAAAUCUCUUUAUCUCUACCUGCAAAGAGAUUAAAACACACAGAAAACUAUUUUUCUGAGUUGCAGAGAGAAUUCUUCAGCAAUGGUAUACAGUUUACACUAUGAAAAACAUAUUAUAUCCCAACAGAGACGAAUAUAUGUAAUGUGGGUUACGCCUAAGAGGAUGUAAAUAGUAAAAUAUGUAAAAGAGAGUAGAAUCAUACCCCCCAAACUGUAGGAGGUUCCUUAAAGUUUUGGCUCCACUGAAAAUCAGAUACCGAUGCUGUUAAGGCGCCAUAAUCACUGGCAGCUUUCAUUAGCAACUCUGAAAAUUGUUUCUGAAAACAAAGCAGAAAAAGUCAUGAGACACAGCAUC
RNAcentral lists this long non-coding RNA (51390 nucleotides) under Capsella rubella. RNAcentral's name for it is "long non-coding RNA (CRUB_LNC003287)". The record is from RNAcentral. Lineage: Eukaryota; Viridiplantae; Streptophyta; Magnoliopsida; Brassicales; Brassicaceae.